RNAcentral lists this long non-coding RNA (56168 nucleotides) under Hordeum vulgare. RNAcentral describes it as "long non-coding RNA (HVUL_LNC001049)". Lineage: Eukaryota; Viridiplantae; Streptophyta; Magnoliopsida; Poales; Poaceae. The record is from RNAcentral.
UCCCUUUUUUAUUAUGUUGUCGCGUGUUAAUUUUCUGGUUGUCGCAUUCAUCAUCGCAUCAUUCGCAUCAUCCACAUUGCAUCGGCAAUCCGUUGCCGCCAUUUUUCAAAACUUGCAUCCGUUAUUAGUUGACGCGUCUUUGUGUUCUUGUCGUUGACCGUUCCGAGACCAACCGCACACGCACGCUCCCGCGACAUCGUUAAAAUAUUGUUUUUAAAAGUGUGUAUAAAACUUUCUCGGAUUGGGCCGAAAGUUGGCGUCCGGUCUUAAUGCACUUUAUGUAGACCGCCUGUCAUAUUUCAUCGCAAUCGAAAUCUGUUUAAUACCCGACUGUUCGAUUGUAGUGGCCCUGUCAUCGGUUUAUUCGUUGGACGUUUUCUCGGUUUUAUAAACUCUGUCAUGGACCGCACCAUUUCCCUCUCAUCUUGGCCUAACCCACCUCUACAUAUCCCACUUCAACCCAACAAAACAACCUCUCUGAUCGGACCGUCCGAUCGCGAUCAGAGGGUAAAAAUGUCCCCAAACUGCAAAGCAUAGCUAUCCUGCCUAUCAAUAGACGGCCCUCCCUGCCUAUUUUGGGGUAAACCCUAGCUCCCCUCGAAAUCCAUGCCCCAACCGCCACUUGGGCCUCCCAGCCGCCAGCCACCUCUCCCACCACUGGCAGGCUCGUCGGAACCCAGAUCUGGAUCUCCCAGGCCGGGAUACAGCCGCGGCCGCGGCCCGCACGAGUCGUGCCUUGGGAGCCGCUCCUCUGGAGCUCCAUCAUGCACAAGCGCCCGCCCGCCCGACACCGUGCCACUAGCCAUCGAUCCUCCGCCGACCUGCAUUGCGCUCCCACACCAGAGCCUCGCCGCCCCCGCAGCCCCUCGUCGCCUCGUGCCCCGGCCGAACCUCGCCGCCGUGCCCAAGCCUCCCCGACCGAACCUCUCCCUCGAGGCCAUGGCGCCGAGCGCCCUUGUCCCCGCCUCCUCCUACGGUCGGUCCUCGCCGGAGCUCUCUGGUCUCAUCGGCCGCCGCCCCUUGUCCCCCACCGCGUUGUUGCCCGCUGGCUACCUCGGCGCGCCAUCGCCGCCACCUCCUACCCGAUCUAGGCCGGAUCGAGGAGCACGACGAGCUGCCCUCGCCCUCCCAGUCACCCACGUGGUCCAGGCCAGCAGGCCCACCUCCUCCGCCAAGGCUCGGCCUAACCUCCAGCCGGCUUGCUGCGACAAUGCUUGGCCAGACUCUAAGGCCGAGUCGACACCGCGUGUGGAGCACCAAGACGAGCGCCUAGGCCCAGCCGCUCGCCUCCUCGCCAGCCCAAGGCCACGCAGGGCUAGCUCUGAGCUGCUCCAUCGACCAACGCAGUUGGCCUACUGUGAGCAAGCCACCCCCUCUCUAUUAUGUGACGCUCAGAGCGUUAGAUAGCUAACCAACACCUAUUUCCUGUUUUAGAUUUGACCAAUGCAUGUUUUUUUCGCGCUGCGAAUUUAACAAAUAUUCUUAGACAUGCAUAAAUUUCAGUAAAGGCAUCAUUUUAAAAAUACAUAUAACUAAUUAUCCGUGCAUCACAUGUUAAAAUAUUAUAUAUAUAUAUAUAUAAUGUCUAGAGUUUGGUGUAGAUUAUUGAUUUCUAACUUUCAUGCAUGUUUAAAAUAGUUAAACGUGAUGUUUGCAUUUGCAGAUGCCAUAUUAUAAUUAUUUAAUUCAUAGCAAAUUAAUUGUGCAUCGGAAUUAUAAACUUAAUACAUGAAAAUACUUAAAAUUUUGUGUAGUCUCACAAUAUCCAACUCUAAUCCAUGUUUAAAAUGUUUAAACUUGUUGUUUAAUUAAAUUUGCGCAGAUGCCAUGUUGAAAUGAUUUAAUUCAUAAUUAAUUAACCGUAGCUUCCAUUAAAUUGAUCUACAUAUGUAACUUGAUCGAAAAAAUGAGUAGAAUAACAUAGUGGCAUUUAUUUUCGUGUUUAAAAACUCUAAAAUUAUGUUUUAGGGAGAUCUGCAGCAAAUUCAAAAUUACAUAAUGGGACUUUCAGGAAAUGUUAUUUGUUUUCCCAGCCUCAGUUAAACUUGCUUAGAAUUUAAUGUAUUUUUUAAUAUCUUGUGUAUCCAUGAUUUAACAUGUUGUGGCUCUCAUUUGCAUGCAUUUUGUAUUCGUGGCAUAUCAUGUUGUGUUGCUCAUAUCUUUUAAAUCAUAGAUCUGUUUACAAUGAUCUAUAUACGUAAAUCGAUUAGAAUGACGUGUAGAAUCGCAUGGUCCACUUUAUUUAGCUGUUUAAUAAAUAUAAAAUGUGAUUAGUUCAGAUCUGGACAGAUUUCAAAAUUAACACACGGGAUCAUUUCGGAAAUGCUAAAAGUUGUUUCCGACCUCAUUUAAAAUGCCUAGAUAGUGUAGUUUAUUUAUGCUUCACCUCUUGUCAUGUUUAACAACAUUUAACAUUGAUGAGUACCGAAAUGAGAGUGAAGUAAAUAUUUGAACACGGAGCUUCGUCAGUAUGCAACUCGUUGCAUAUUGCGCUUCACUUAAUGUGUAGUAUUUUAUUGUGGUGAUUGUCAUGCCUUGCAUAAUUAAACCAUACAUGCAUCAUUUGUGUUGUGCAUCAUAUCAUGCAUAUGUUGUGGUGUUAUUUUAUGUUGAUUCUUGUUUCGGAUUGCUUCUUUUCGAUAGAGUUCCGCAAGCAUGUUAGAGUGUGAGGAUUUGUACGACUAUAUUGGUUCGUCUGCUUCAUGGAUUUGUUCUUCUUCCAAGCGGGAUCACACGCAAGAUGCUCAUUUCCGGAGAUACCAUUACUAUCAUUGUCAUGCUAGUUGUCUCGUUUCUUUCACUAUGUCUCGCUAUCUACCACAUGUUUAAUAAGUCUCCCAACAUUGCCAUGAAAAGCCUCUAACCUUUCCACAACCCAGCAAACCACUGUUUGGCUAUGUUACUGCUUGCUCAACCUUCUUAUAGCGUUGCUAUUUGCAGGUGUAGUUGCUUCCAUGUGAAACAUGGGUUCCUUGUUAUAUCACCAUAUUAUUUCCAUUCAAUUUAAUGCACCUAUAUACCUGGUAAAAGGCGAAAGGCUUGGCCUUUUGGCUGGGUGUUUUUUUCCGAUUUUGCUGCCUUAGUUUUGGCUACCGGUGUUAAGUUCCAUACUGAGUGAUCCUAACAUGCUUGGGGUGUUAUGGGGACACCUUUGACUUCCGUUUUUUGGAUAAAACUCUUCUAGCAAGGCCCAUCAUUGGUACUAUAUUUGCCCAACAUAAUAAUACUGAAAAACAUAGCGCGUCAUGAACCCGAGGAGUAACUCAACAUAAUACAGGGGGACAGUGCUGACGGUGUUGGUCCCAAACGGGUUGCCUGCGAGGCCAACAUGAGGGAACUCGAGGAUUGGUUUUACUCGUAGCUAGUCCCAUCCGAUUGUGCCCUCAGAACGAGAUACAUGGCUCCUAUCGGGGAUGUCGGCACGUUGGGCGACAUUGAUGGAUUUUUUUACUUUUCUUGAAUGUCUUGUGCGAGGAAUUCCGUGGAUACUUUGGGCUAUCUCGAGGUUGAGGUUUUUCACUUGAAAUCCGAAGAGAUCACGGGUUCUCCACGGUUGAGGUUUCCGCCGAAGCGUGUGGUAGUUUGAGAUGGACUAGUUGAAGUACCCCUGCAGGGUUAAAUAUUUCAAAAAGUCGUGCCCAUAGUUAGGUGGAAAAUUGGAAACUUUGUUUAACAUCGGGUUCUAGAAAACUUGAAGUAAACUUAGAUAAAAUAUACCAACUAUGUGCGUAACCGUGACUGUCUCUUCUCAUGAGUUUUGCAUACGGAAGAGGACACACUGGGGUUAUAUACGACGUAAGUAGGUGUUCAGGAUCACUUUGAGAUCAUUAUUAGUUUACGGCCGUUUAUGCGUAGAUCACCCUCCUCUUAUUCUUGUAUGCGUAAGUUAGCCACCUCAAAUAAAUGCUUAGUUGCUUGUUCCAACCUCGCCGCUUAACCAUACCUCACCCGUUAAGCUUUGCUUGUCUUGAUACCUCUGGAAAUGAGAUUGAUUAGUCCACGUGACUCAUAGAUUACUACAACAAUAAUUGCAGGUACAGGUAAAGCGAUACUUUGACGUGAGUGCAAUGAUUGUUCUAUUUGGAGUUUCUUCUUCUUCUUCCUCGAUCUAGGACGAGUUCCAGGCCGGCAGCUCGGGAUAGCAAGGAUGGACGUCUUUCUUUUAUUGUUUCUUUUCCUCUGUUGUUGGACCCUACUCUUCUACAUUGUGAUUGAAUACAUUAUUCUAUUGUGUUAUUCAUGUUGUAGCUUGUGGCGAGUGUAAUCCAAUUCCGUUUACUCAUCUUUUCUGUACUUGUACUUGUAACGAUAUCCAUUCUUGCAAAACAACGAGAUGCCCUUCUUUCCGUGUCGUGGCCCUCGAGCCAAAAUAAGGAUAAGAUUGCAUCUUGGGCAUUACACCAAAUCCAAGAAGGAAACUACAGUUUUUCCGGGAUCGCUGUUUUUUGGGUAUCUUCUUCAAACUUUGCAUUGACACCACGUUCACAUGGACAUGUUUCUAUGUUCCUUUGAAUUUCACCCAAGAAAAUAAACAUUCUGAUAUUUGAUUCCACUUUUACUAUGCAAUAUACUGAAUAGGCUAUGAACAUACAGUGGACAAGUUGUUCAUCCAGGUGAUUUCUGUUGUUUUCUGGCAUUUUUGUAUACAAUUAUGAUUUUUUUUCAUGGGUUGUUUGAAAUUUACAUGGCAUCCAUAAAAUAUAAUUGAUGGGUUUGCAAUUCUCUUUUUUCUUAUAGAGAAAAGGUCAACUUAGAGUAUGAAUUCAAAAAUUUAUACCUGCAUAAUGAAGACGUGUGUCGCACGUGCAUGCUUACUAGUGCUACUAAAAAACAACCCCACAUGCUACUCUAUGUUGGUACUGCUCCACGCGCUCCAUGCACGGACUCGGACCCGAAGCUGUCCGUGAAUAGGCCCUAUUGGUAGUAGCCACCUCAAUUCAUGUGUAACCAGAUCUUUAGGGCAUUUGUUUUACUCUCUCCAUUCCUAAAUAUAUGUCUUUUAAGAGAUUACAUUAUAAACUAUAUACGAAUGUAUAUUGUCAUACUUUAGAAUGUAGAUUCAAUUAUUUUACUCUGUUUGCAGUUCAUAGUGAAAUCUCGGAAAAAACUUAUAUUUGAAAAAAGGAGGGAGUAGAUGAUAAGACAAUGUUUUUAUAUAUUCGAUACUAAGACUACUAAGCCCGUAAGGAUUCUUUUUUCUGGGUUUUUUAGACUUUUUUUAACGCUUCUAAGAAAAUGACACGUGCGCCUAGUAUGUUUCUCUUCCUCCAUUUGCUGGGUUUCAUCUCACCGCUUUGACCACUUAAUAGUAAAAGUUGUCUCGGAGUACUGAUGUGAUGGGUGGGCAGCCUAUAGUGCAUAUGCUUUCAUAAAAAUUAGGCUGUGCAGCGUGUUUGUGUUCUUUUGUUUAUUGUUAGAUGGGUGUGAUUGGCUCUCCUAGAAGGUUCCUCUUUAGAAAAAGAAUUAGCUUGACUGUACGUGUACGGGCUGGUUUUGUCUCAUGCGCAAAAAUCAGGUUGAUUGCACGUGCAUGUUCUAGAUGUGUAUGGGCUGGUUUUGUCUUGUGCACCGCUGCAUGGUUCAUGCAUGCAUGUGGCCAUGUUUCCUGUUGUAUACUGCCUCCGCUCUUAAAUAUAAGUCUUUUAGAAGAUUUUUUAAGAGACUACAUAUAGAAUAAAAUGAGUGAAUCUAUAUUUUCAAAUAUGUCUAUAUAUAUAUCCGUAUGUAAUUCUCUAGUGAAAUAUCUAAAAAGGCUUAUAUUAUGAAACGGAGGGAGUAGUUUCCUCUUUAUGUCAUCGAUGUACACGUUGUGUUCUGGGUUUCUUUUGUGGGUUUCAUUUUUUCCCUCUCCUUUUUCCUGCCUAUAAGUAGCUCUUUGCUCCUUCUCUCCUGUGUACUUCAUGUUUGUUUAGUCUCUAUUAUGGUUUCUGCUGUUGCGCAUGCUUCUCAGCGUGUUCAUUCGACGUCCUUGGGCUCCUCUUCUUUUGUUGGUGAUCCUGAUGGGGGUUGCUGGGGUUGGCUGUCGAUGGUGGUUCUAUUCCUGGUGAGUAUUGUUCUUUUUGGACCUUCAUUGGAAUGGUUUGAUUGUUGAUUUUUGCAGUCUUUUUGAUUGUGUUGGUGAUGUUGUGUGUUUUUAGGCUUGAGGGCUGAUGAGGCGGACGCCGCCGCCAGGAUCGGAUGCGGCUCCUUCGUCGUCUUCCUAGGACGCCCUCCCUUCAUCUCCUCUUCGUCGGGUCAUCAACCAUCGAGUAGGGAGGUGCACACAUAGGCCAUGGCUGAUUGAGGAGGAACUUGCUUCGGUGGGCUGUAGUGGCGGCUUGGAUUUCCUUCUCCCGAGGCGACACGGUGUUCCUCAACCCAAAUGUUUCCCUGAGGAGCACCACCAUGCCUCACCAUCGGACGCAUCACUGCAAGUACCACCACCACAAUAAUAUGUCGGUCCUUCAUUUCCCCAUCACCUACUAGCCAAGGUCCACCUCUGGGUAAGCUCCUUUGGGUUCAGUUAUGGCUUCUCAAGCACGCUAGAUUUUUCCCGUGAUUUCUUUUUUCAUGAUAGACCUGCGUUUUGUGGCGGAGUAGCAUAAAAAUUUCUAUUUCUUCACUAGUUUACUUGCCGAAGGUUAGAUUGCAAGAGGUGGCAAGCCGGUAGGAGGUAACCUCGAAAUCAGCGACAGUGAGCCGGUGACGACGGUGGUUGACACAAUGGCCGAGGGAAAUUUUCAAUUCGUGCUGCUUUUUUUUCUGAAUUAUUUGGAUCACAAUCACUUGAGUUUACUGUUUUUGCAGUGUCAAAUCAUCCAUCAUUGACACCUACAGGAUCCUGAUGCCACAGUAACUAAGCAAAAACAACAAACCCCAAACAAACCAAUGGAAUCUUGAACUAUUUUACCAUGAAUCAAUUCUUUAAACGACUUAUCAAAUAUUACACAAAAAACAAAACUAAAUAGUUAAUCAAUCCAUGUGGCGCCGCGUGCCGCCGCGCACUAUUUGCUAGUACUAUCUAGAGAAGCAAUAAAAUAUGUGAUCCAAUCAAUUAUUUUUUAAUGUUAUCUUUAUAUUUACCAUUACAAAUCCUAUAAAUAUAGGAGGAUUGAAAUAAAGACUAAAAUACAUGUGAAUAAUAGACGACUCAUACAAUGUCUUAGAUUUUUUUUCAUAAAUAUCGUCUCUUUUAUACCAUUGUUACUCGGUGAGAAAUAUAACAAUAUUCAAACCAGAGAUUACGGCUUUGGGGUCGACCCCGGUAACGAAAAAAGAAUCCAUAAAAACUUGGGAUCCAACACCAUGAUAAAAUACGACCCUCAUGGUUAAAACAUGUCCCUGAGAUUUGAUAAGAAAAUGUUGCAUUAGCGGUUAAUACGCUGUAAUUAAAUAAGUUAUUUGGAAUAUGACGGAACCAAAGACCAAGGAAUGGAAGAAGAAAGCACCAAAAUGCAAGUGCUGCACCAAACGCCGGUGGUUGUUUCUUGUUGUAAGUGCAUGCAACGAAAAGACCCAUAAAUAACGAAUAAUGAGAAAAUUCAUUUAUAAACAUUUCGUGCCCAUUUUCAAAUUUCUUCUUAGUUAUAUACUGAGAAUUGACAUAAUAGAUAAUUUACAUGUGGUUGGAUGGUUAGAGGGACUUUGGUAUCCCAACCUUCCAAAGUUUAAAUUUUGAUGUUCGCAAGAGAUGUUUCCGUUGAUGAAAAGGUGUCUACAGUGAAUUUGUAAGUUUUAAGAUGAUAUGUCGGCUCGGUCUCUAGAAGGUACUCAUAAAGAUAAGAUGUGCAUGUGUGUUCAUAGGAGUGAGUGUAUACGCGUCUACGAGCGUUUGAGUAUGUACUGUCAUAAAAAAAAAGACAACAUCGUCAACACGGUGGCAUAGAUAUCACUGGAAUUCUUAUCAUGUAUAUUUCUCUUUAUGCAUAGCCGUAGUUUACAUGCACCUCACCCAAACGUAGUUGUAGUACUCUUAUGAUUGUAGUACUCAUACAAUGUUAACUCGAGUUGCAGGGAGAGAACACAUACACAAGCAGAACAAAAGUAAAAAGGGAAAUAAAAUGAACCUGGCACGAAACCAUGUUGUAUGAUAAAAGGGAGUUAGCUUGUUUAGGCCUUGCCAGACUCCUCGCAGCCUGGUGGCUUGAAGGCGAUGAAGCUGACGCACUGCACCUGACGCAUGUUGUCGAAUCCGAUGAUGCGGACAUAGGCGUCAGGGUACUCCUUCUUGACCUCCUCCACUUCGUUUAACACCUGUGUGGCGUCGGUGCACCCAAACAUAGGUAGCUUCCACAUUGUCCAGUAUCGGCCAUCGUAAUACCCUGGAGAGGCAUUGUGCUCACGGAAGAUGAAUCCAACCUUGCUGAACUCGAGACAAGGCACCCACUUGGAGCGGAUCAGGUAGUCGACCUGCUUCAGGAGUGCCUCCGUGGAGAGCGGUGGCAAGUAAGACAAAGUCUCGAACUUCUUGAUGCCUUCAAUCGGCCAGACCUGAAUUGUUCACAGAAUUUAGUUUGUCCUCCGUUAGUCAGCUCGAUGGAAUGGGCUGGGAAGUAAAAUCUUUUGUCUUCGGUCUAGUGACCAUACCUGCAUGCACCGGAUUCUUCCGCCGUUGCUGACGCUGCCGAGGCCAGCCGCGUUGCCGGAGAGGCGGCUGACUGGGAGACCAGCUGUGGACUUGAGUCCCUGGAAGGGUGCUACGGCGGUGGCUGCCGACGACAUGACAGUGGGAGCCAUCGUUGAUAGCUAAUAGGAGAGGCAGGCUUUACUUGAGACUGUGCGGUGGGUCGGCGACGAUGGCUUGUAUAAACCGUAGGCUCCCACCCAUUCCAUUAUCUGCACAAGAUCUGGGAGGAGUGGCUGCUGUUAGCCUCGGAGAUUAUCCCCGGCUACGGUGCCAUCCUGUAGAUCGGAUCAAGCGCCAUGUGGCAACGUGCCUUAUCCCGUGGACCUACGUUCUACCCUGUCCAUGCGUGGCUGAUCCUUUGCAAAUGAGAAUGUACUUUUUUUCGCGAUAUUCACCACACAUCUGAUAUAAUGGACAAUAACCAUAUGACCCUAUGUGGUAUACUUAGGAGACAUCCCACACGAUUGACACAAUCGGACGCAGCUACUUCAUGUCACACGUCUAACAAUUACUCCCUCCGCUCUUUAAUAUAAGUCUUUUUAGAGAUUUUUCUAGAAGACUACAUAUGAAUGUAUAUAGAUAUAUUUUAAAAUGUAUAUUUACUCAUUUUACUUUAUAAGUAGUCACUUAAUGAAAUCACUAAAAUACUUAUAUUUAGGAAAUGAGGGAAUACUCAUUCCCAUCCCUUUUGUAUGCCACGGAGCAAUUUCGCCUUGACAUUUCUUGGUGACAACUUUAGUUACUUGAGGAUGGUAACUUUAGUUGUAAAACAUCACAACUUCUCUGUUUUAAUUAAUUAUAGUUGUCAUGCUUAAUUAACGAUAGUUACCACGUGUGGCCAAAUUAUAAUUGUCAUGUAUGAUCAACCAUGGUUGUCAUGUGUGAUUAACUAGCUAUCACGUGUAGUUCAACCAUAAUUGUCAUGUAUGGUCAAUCAUAUUUGCAAUAUGUGAUUAGCCAGUUGCCACAUAUGCACAACUGUAGUUGUCAUCUAUCACAAUACGAGCAUCGUAUGGGUGAAGAGUAGUUCACCCGCACAACGUGGACUAGAUGGUGUCUGUGUAAGCGAGUACCGAUUCACCUGCACGACGAAGCUAUCAAUCACGCGUGCAAGGCCGUUUGGAAAAGCGCUCUAACCACUUACACACCACAAUAUGCCUACGUGUGAAAUUCUAAUAGACCCCUGCAAGAUUCGUGCAAUCGAGAACCAACGAUAAUAAAUGCGUAUGGACCAAGUAUUGAAAUACCACACGUAUGGAUAUUAUUAUUUGUUUUUUAUGUCAGUAAAUAAGGAUGCUCGUAUACAAGGCAUACACACACACCAAUGAGAAUUUCUAAAUAUAUUUUUAUCUAUAAUAUUAUUUUUUAGGGAUGUAAUGACUCCUUAUUCAAAUAAUUCAUAGCAAUCGUUACAUGAUCAUUUGCUUGAAAGAAACCAAACAUGUCUACCUAAGUUUAGAGAAAGUAAAAAAAUUUGGCUAAACUAUAUGCUUCAUUAUUCUUGUCUAACUUUCAUGUACUUUCAACAAAUUAUGUUGCUCUAGCCUUGACCUCGUUUAUAAUAGCAACAUAUCUUUCUCCUUCAAUCAUUUUGAGGUCCUUAUCACAGUGGCACAAUGAGAUGAAAUAAUAAAUUGUGAUGCUUGGAGAUCAUGUGUGAGCACCAUCACCUCGCGACAACAAGUGUUUUUUGAAUUGGUGCACUAGUGAUUCCCGGGAAAGUAAUGGAUUAAGAUCUCACUUAGUUACCAUGUUCGUAGCGACAAACUACCACUGUUGAAACUCGAUCGCUGUUUUUAGAGAACCAGAUGGGGGUCUAAUCCAAGGUUCCUAACAAAACUUGGACUCGCGCACCUACUCUAUUGUCUUUUUUUUGAAGAGAUGGUAUCUAGCUGUGAAAAGAACUUCGUAAUUAACAAGCGGGUUGAUCAAGGUGAUUGGAAUUCUUGUUCUUGCCUUUCAUCUCGUGGACCAUACUGCCCACAAGGUGAUUACUAUCUCCACAUAGUGCUCAUGUGAUAAUGAGUCUAGCAUAGCCAAGAGACACAUUUUUGCAUUUGGUAUCCUUGUUUCCAUCAAGUGUUGGAGCAUCUCCUCAAUGGCCCCAAGCACAUCUUGUAUAAUGCCCAAUAUGCGAUCCUAUCCUUGUUUUUUUUGGUACGAAGGCCUCGACGGGGGUAGAAUCUCAUCUCGUCGUUUUACAAGAAUGGAUAUCGUUACAAGUACAUGUACAGAAGGGACGAGUAUAUGGAAUUGGCUUACAAUCGCCACAAGCUACAUCAUGAGAAUCUCAAUACAACAAUACAUCCAAUCAUCAUGUAGAAGAGCAGGGCAUGUCUACGGAUGAAAACAAACGAUAAAAGAACGACGUCCAUCCUUUCUAUCCCAAGCUACUGGCCUGAAACCCAUCCUAUGAUCGAUGAAGAAGAAGAAGAAACUCGAAAUAGAACAAUCAUCGCGCUCACGUUGAAGUAUCGCUUUACCGGUACCUGCAACUAUUGUUUUAGUAAUCUGUGAGUCACAUGGACUCAGCAAUCUCAUCUUUAAAGGUAUCAAGACUAGCAAAGCUUAAUGGGUGAGGUAUGGUUAUGUGGUUAGGUUGCAACAAGGAAAUAAGCAUUUAUAUGAGUGGCUAACUUACGAGUAGAAGAAAUAAGAGAAGAGAUAAUCUACGCAUAACGAACGUGAACUAAUAAUGAUCUCAAAGUGAUUCUGAACACCUACUUACGUCAAACAUAAACCAACCGUGUUCUCUUUAAUAUGCAUAACUCACGAGAAGAGACAUUCACGGUUACGCACACAGUUGGCAAGUUUUAAGUUUACUUCAAGUUGUCUAGAACCAGAUGUUAAACAAAGUUUCCAAGUUGCCAGAUAACCACGGGCACGACUUUCCAAGGGAUAUAACCCUCGAGGGCUUCUCCAACUAGUCCAUCACAAACUACCACAAGCUGCGUCGGAAACCUAGACUACGGAAAAACCGUGAUCUCCUCGGGUUCCUGGUGGAAAAACUCAAGUUCGAGAUAGCCCAAAUUAUCCUCGGAAUCCCUUGUAGAAGACAUUCGAGAAAGGUCAAAGAAAUCCACCAAGGCCGCCCGACGAGUCUACGAUGCCGAUAGGAGCCGCGUAUCUCGUUCUCCGGACACGAUGGAUGAGCACUACGUACGGUGGCCGGAUAGACAUCCCCCGAGUUCGGCCCAGCUAGUGGCUCUAGUUUGGACCAACACUCAUGAGAAGCACUGGCCCGGGGGUUGAUUAAUUAUCCACAGGGUCGUGAAAGUCCCUAUGCAAUUUUAUUAGGUUAUUAGGCAAAAUGUAGUACCAAUGCUGGGCCUUGCCAGAUGAGUUUUAUCCCAAAAUGAAAAUCUAGGGGGUCUCCAUAAGAACCCCAAGCAUGUUAGGAGCGCUCAAUUAUGGAACAUAACACCGGUAGCCGAAACUAAGGCAGCAAAAGCGGAACAAAACACCCAACCAAAAGACUAAGCCUUCCGCCUUCUACCAAGUAUAUAGGUGCAUUAAAUUAAAUAACAAUAAUAUUAUGAUAUAACAAGGAACCCAUGUUUUUUUCAUGGAAGCAAUUGUACCUGCAACUAGCAAUGCUAUCAAAAGGCUGAGUAAGCCGUAACAUAGCCAACCAGUGGUUUGCUUGGUUGAGGAAUGGUUAGAGGGUUUUCAUGACAAAGUUUGGAGGAUGACAUUUAAGUGGUAGGCAGCGAGACAUAGCGAAAUAAACGAUAUAACUAGCAUGGAAAUUAUAGUAAUUGUAUCUAGGGAAGUGGUCAUCUUGCCUGUGAUCCCGCUUGGAAGAAGAACGAAUCCGUGAAGCAGGUGAAGCAAUGUAGCCGAACGAAUCCUCACAUUCCAAAGCUGUUUAGAACUCUAUCGAGGAAAAAACAAUCCGGAACAACAAUCAACACACGAUAACACCACACAUAUUCAUGACAAGAUGCACAAUAAAAUAUGAUGCAUGGCAAUUUCAAUUUAUGCAAGCAUGGAAAAGCACAACAAAUAAUACUACACAUUAAAUGAAGCUCAAUAUGCAACAAGUUGCAUAUUGAAAAACUCCAUACUUGAAUUAUUUAGUUCACUCUCAUUUAGGUACACGACAAUAUUAAAUGUUGUUAAACAUGGCAAGAGGUGAAGCAUAAAUAAACUACACUAUCUAGGCAUUUUAAAUGAGCUCAGAAACAACAUAUAGCAUCUCCGAAAUGACCCCAUGUGUUAAUUUUGAAAUCUGUCUAGAUCUGAACUAAGCAUGUUUUAAGUUUAUUAAACAGCAAAAUAAAGUGGACUACGUGACUCUACAUGUCAUUCUAGUCAAUUUACAUAUAUAGAUCAUUUGAAAUGGAGCUACGGUCUAAAAGAUAUGAUCAUCACACGAUAAUAUGAUAUUGAUGCAAAAUGCAUGCAAAUGACAUCCACAACAUGUUAAACGUGGAUGCGACAGUAUAUUAUGGAACUACCAAAAUUCUAAGCAAGUUUAAAUUAGGCCUGAAUAACGAACAACAAUUCCGGAAAGUCCAUAUAUGUAAUUUCUAAAUUUGCUACAGAUCUGUGUAAACACAAUUUUAGAUUUGUUAAACAGGAAAAUAAAUGUUACCAUGUUAUUCUACAACUUUUUCUAGCCAAGUUACAUAUGUGGAACAUUUUAAUUGGAGCUACGGUUAAUUAGUUAUGACAUAAACCAUUUCCACAUGGCAUUUUUGCAAAUUAAUUAAAACAACAAGUUAAACAUGUUAGACACAUGUGAGAGUUGCAUAUUGUAAACCUACACAGAAUUCUAAGCAUUUUUUAUGUAUGAAGUUUUUAAAUCCGACGCACGAUUAUUUAGCUAUGAAUUAAUUCAUUUUAAUAUGACAUCCACGCAAAUUUAAUUAAACAACAAGUUUAAAUGUUUUGAACAUGUGUGAAAGGGACAUAUUAUCAAUCUACACAAAAUUCUAUACAUUUUACAUAUUUAAAAUAUUUUUAUCCGAUGCACGGUUAAUUUGUUCUUAACAUUUUAAAGUGAGAACAUAAUCUCUAAUUAUAACAUACACCGAAUAGUUAGCAUUAUCAGAGACGCAAAAAAACAACAACAUGCCGAAUCUGGCUACGGGCCAAAACAACCAGUGGGCACAGGAUAACUGUGCGAGACAGUAGGCGGGUUAUAUAUAGGGAUUGGGCUAUGGUGGGUUGGACCUUGUCCGUCCGGUCGUAAUUCGAUGACCACGAACGGAGGGAGGGGUUAGGUCGGUCUAGUGGGCUGUGUAGAUGGGCUAGGUUCGGAUGAGAGGGAAGUGGUGCAUCCCAUGACAAAAUUUUAAAAGGCAAAAACGCCCGAUAUUUAAACUGACGCCGGUGGCACUAAGGUCGAGCGUUUGGGUAUCAAACAAACUCCGAUUGCGACGAAAUUUGGCAGGCGGUCUACCUACAUUAAAAUAGAACCGCACGCCAUGUUUCAAACCAAUCUGAGAGAGUUUUGCAUACGAUUUAAAAAAUAAUAUUUUUAAUAAUGUCACGGGCGCGUGUGCGUAUGAUUGGCCUCGAAACGGUCAAUGACAAAAACGGACAGAACUGACAACUAAUAACGGAUGCAAGUUUUGAAAAAUGACGGGAAUGGAGUGCCGAUGCAAUGCGGAUGAUGCGAAUGAUGCGAUGAUGAAUGCAGAAACCAAACAAAUCACAUGACAACAAUGCAGUAAAAGGGGAAUCUUCUAGAACGUUGGUUCCGGGCUGUUACAUCUUGCCGAGUAGCGUUCCACCAAAGCAUGACACCAAGAAUCUUCAGAAUCACACACACGGAAGCAAUAUGUACCUGCCAUAUUUCCUUGCUCCAAAACAUCAAAGGCUUGGUUUGAGUGUUGGGCCAAACGUUCCGCAAAAUCCUUGAGUUUCAACAGAAUAGUAGUGCCCCAUAACUUCGUCCAUUGCUUAACCACCGAAACCAUAUCUGAUGAGGCCAUACCAUGAUACAACCAUCCAUCCUAGUGCAUCUUAGUGUUAAAAAUCGUGGUGGCGAUGUUCCUCUCAAAUGCCAAGGACAAAAAAUAGACAUAUAUUUUGUGCAUAAAUGAAUACCCAGAAUAGCACAUUCAUCCAUCGGUAAAAAGGAGGCCCAAACCAAACCCUUGCGCCAAGUCGCCGAUGUCCUAUCUAUUAAUUCAGGUACCAAGAAAACCCCAUGUUGUGUGGUGGUGAUUUUCCUCACUGUACUUUCUCCUGGAAUCAAAUUAUGAUUCCAAAUUUCAGUUGUGGAUCAAUCUCCUAUGUGGCGAAUAAGGCGAUGGAUCAUAAAAGUUGGACCUUCAACUACUGAUCUCCAAAUAUUUGAUGGGUGAACCCUAGGGUUGCAAAUAAUAUAGAUAUAUAAAAAAAUAUCGAUUUAAGCAAUUUUGCACUCAGGGUGUGUGGGUCCAUAAGAAUUCUCCAUGUCUAGCAAGCCAAAAGAGCCAAGCUAAAUAACUCCAAAUCUCUAAAUCCCAAACGUCAGAAAAAAGGACUAGAACUUCCGCGCCGCCGCUGCAAGUCGUUGUUCUAAAGAGAUCCCAUUCGGAGCCCUUUUUUGGCUUCCUGUGGGAGGGGAAAUCUUUAGGGGAGACCAUAUUCAUGAUCCCGGCGAUCUCUAUGAUGAGGGGGGAGUAGUUCACCCUGAGGGUUGAGGGUAUGUACUAGUAGUUAUGUGUGUGAUCUCUCUAUCUCGUGUUCUUGAUUUGGCACGAUCUUGAAGUACCACGAGCUUUGUUAAUAUAGUUGGAUCAUAUACUGUUCUUCCCUCUCUAUCUUCUAAUGAAUUGACUCUCUCCCUAUGAGAUUUCGUUAUGUGGGAUUAAACACUUGGGAUUUGAGAACACUAGAUGUACUUGUUGUAUGCGGUACCCCUGGUGACAAUGGGGUAUUAUAUUGCAUCACUUGAUAUAUGUUUUGGUAAUCAACUUGUGGAUUCCCGUGGUGACAUUGGGGUAAUGUAGGCACAUGGGUUGAUACAUGUUUUCAUCCUAAUUUCUCCUAUAGAUACUUUGGGGUAAUCUUUGAGGUUCUUUGUGUGGAUUUAAUAUUAUGAAUCUAAAAUUGUUUGGUGUUAUUUAGUAGGAAUGCUAGGGUUUUUUGUGAUACAUUAGGUAUUUCUCAAUAGAGUGAUGGAAAAGACAACUAUUUAGCACAAACUCUAGGGCUGCUUGUGACACAUAUAGGGAUGGAUCAAUAGAUUGAUCGGAAAGAUAAAUUUGAGGUGGUUCACUACCUACAACAAUUUCUUCUUAUGUUCACCUCUAAUGACCAGGAUUUUGGAGUGAUUCUUUGUGCAUGUUGAGGGAUGGUUAUAUGACUUAAUUAUGCUAGACCUAUUGAGAAAUUGCACUGGUGAAAGUAUGGACCCUUGUUUCCAUGUAUUGAUUUAACAUGUUGCAAGUUGUUUGUCACUUGCUACCUUGUUGUUCUUAUAUUUUUCGAUUGCAAAAAACUAUUUCUACCAUCCAUACUACACUUUUAUCACCAUCUCUUCUCCAAACUAGUGGACCUAUACAAUUUACCAUUGUAUUGGUUGUGUUGGGGACACACGAGAUUUCUUGUAUUUGAUUGCAGGGUUAUUUGAGAGAUACCAUCUUAAUCCUACACCUCCCAUGGAUUGAUAAACCUUAGGUGAUUGAUACGUAUCCAACAUAUCUAUAAUUUUUGGUUGUUCCAUGCUAUUUUAUUGCCAUUCAUGGAUACUUUAUAAGCAUUUAUAUGUUACUUUAUAUCAUUUUUGAAAACUAACCUAUUAACCCAGUGCCUAGUUCCAGUUGUUGUUUUCCGCCUCUUCUGUAUUUUUAGGAAGCAGUACCAAACUAAGUCCAAAUGCAAUGAAAUUUUUGACGUUUUUCUGAACAAAAAUAAGAUAUGGGAGCUUCAGAGGGAGACCAAAUGCCACACGGAGUGGUGCCAAGCCAACAGAGCGCACCUAAGACGGGUAGGCCAGCCCUAAUGGCUAGGUACCACCCCCUCGCGCCUCCUGACCUAACUGCACCUCGAUAAAUUUUCUAAAAUAGGUAAAACACCAUAGAGACACCCAAAAUAUUUUUCCACCACCGCUCGUCUUUGUUCUGCCGCGAACCCAUCUAGAUCACUGUUCCGGUGUCGUGUCGAAGGGUGGAUCAAUCACAGAGGGCCUCUAGAUCAACUGUGAUGCUCCCAUGGUGAUAUGUGAGUAGUUUACGACAGACCUACGGGUCCAUAGCGUAAUUAUAUAUAUAUAUAUAUAUAUAGAUAGAUAGAUAGAGAGAGAGAGACACACACACACACAUAAACACUAUUCUCAUCCCAGGUUGAGAAUAACUAUUCUCAUCCAGACUGACUCGUCCGAGCAGUAGCACUUGAACUUCCCCGAGUGCUAGGUUGAACUUAUGCCAGAAGUGUGCAAAUGGGGCUUGCGAUAUACCAUUGCAAAUCUAUGGACACCCUAAGAAGAUCCUAAUAUGAUUUUUUGUGAAAAUGUUCAUGGUUUAAAAGUAGUUUUCAAAACUAUUUUUGUUCAUACCAAAAAACAUGAAUCGUAUUUUCAAGCCUAUUUCUAAAAGGUUUAUCAAAAUGAUGCAAAUAAGGUGGAGGUGGAGAGACUUUGCAAAUACGCUAAUUUCAUACGUUGAAAGUUCUCCCAAAUUCCCUACGGUUAAAGAGGAAUUAAAAAAAAUGGCUGAAUUUGUGAAACCGAACACCCGGGUUCGUAUUUCAGGGUUAAUUUGAAAACGGCUAGUCCGAUCGAUGCAAAUGAUAUGUUGUUCGAAAGCUUAUGAAAAUGUGCGUUGUUUCAUACAAAAUGUUUAUGCUAACUAUGAACGGUUUAAAAGUAAUUUACUAAAUGGCACAAGUUGUAUCGAGUUUGUAUUUUCGCGUCAAUUUUUCAAAGGUUUGUUGGAAUGGAACGAAUGAUAUGGCGUUGGAAAGCUUGAACAAAUGCUAAACUUUUAUAUGUCAAUUCUUUUUUAAUUCAUUACAGUUUUACGUGAGUUUUUAAAAUGGCUAAAGUGUGUUUUGGCUAUAGGUUUUACAAACUUUAUCGGAAUAAGGCAAAUAAUAUACCGUUGAAAUGCUACGGAAAUGUGAAACUUUUUCAUGUAUAUAGUUUUCUAUGAUUCCUAUCCAUUUUCAAGCAAUCUAGAGAAAAGUGAGAUCAUGCCUUCUGUAUUUAUCGCAAAAUAGAGCCUUCAAAAAUGCAUCGCGUGAAGAACUUGACCUUCUCGCCAUGUCCACUUGAACUUCACUUUGUUUUUUUUGGAAAUAUGCCCUAGAGGCAAUGAUAAAAUAGUUAUUAUUAUAUUUCCUAUUUCAAUAUAAUCGUUUAUUAUCCAUGCUAUAAUUGUAUUGAAUGAAAACAUAAAUGCAUGUGUGGAUAUAUAGACAAAACAAUGUCCCAAGUAAGCCUCUAUUUGACUAGCCUGUUGAUCAAGGAUGGUUAAGGUUUUCUGACCAUAUGCAAGUGUUCUCACUUGAUGACUCGAUCACAUCAUUAGGAGAAUGAUGUGAUGGACAAGACCCAAACUAUAAACGUAGCAUGUGAUCGUAUCAUUUUGUUGCUAUUGUUUUCUGUGUGUCAAGUAUUCAUUCCUAUGACCAUGAGAUCAUGUAACUCACUGACACCGGAGGAAUACCUUGUGUGUAUCAAACGUUGCAACGUUACUGGGUGACUAUAAAGGUGCUCUACACGUAUCUCCGAAGGUGUCCGUUGAGUUAGCAUGGAUCAAGACUGGGAUUUGUCACUCCGUGUGACGGAGAGGUAUCUCGGGGCCCACUCGGUAAUACAACAUCACAUAUAAGCCUUGCAAGAAAUGUGACUCAAGUGUUAGUCACAGGAUCUUGUAUUAAGAAAACGAGUAAAGAGACUUGCCGGUAACGAGAUUGAAAUAUGUAUAGGGAUACCGACGAUCAAAUCUCGGGCAAGUAACAUACCGAAGGACAAAGGGAAUGGUAUACGAGAUUAUAUGAAUCCUUGGCAUAGAGGUUCAAUCGAUAAGAUCUUCAUAGAAUAUGUAGGAUCCAACAUGGACAUCCAGGUCCGGCUGUUGGAUAUUGACCGGGGAGUGUCUGAGGUCAUGUUUGCAUAGUUCUCGAACCCACAGGGUCUGCACACUUAAGGUUCGGUGAUGUUUCAGUAUAGUUGAGUUAUAGGUGUUGGUGACUGAAGGUUGUUUGGAGUCCCGGAUGAGACCACAGACGUCACGAGGGUUUCCGGAAUGGUCCCGAAACGAAGAUUGAUAUAUAGGAUUGUUUCAUUUAGCCUUCGGAAAGAUUUCAGGCAUUAGCGGCACUGUACCGGGAGUGACGAAUGGCUUCCGGGUCUUUACCGGGAGGGCCCACCCACCCGGGAGAGAACCCAAUAACCCAAGGGUGGCGCACCAGCCCUUAGUGGGCUGGUCAGGCCAGCCCAAGUGGGAUAUGUAGGCUAGAAGGAAAAAAUCAAAGGAAAAAAAAGAGGGAGGUGGGAAGGAAGGAGGGGACUCGUCCUUCCCAAACCGAAUUGGAGUUGGAAUCUCCUUCUCCUCUCUCGUGUGGAGCCCUAGGGGCUCCCUUGAGCCCCAACUCUAGCCCCUCCCCUCCUUCUAUAUAUACUAGAGGUUUUAGGGGUUUUGAGACACAACUUUUGCCACGUGCAACCCUAAACCUCUACUUCGUAGUUCUUCCUCUAGAUCGGUUUUCUGCGGAGCUCGGGCGGAGCCCUGCAGGAAUAAAUCAUCACCAUCACCGGCGCGCCGUCACGCUUCUGGAUAACUCAUCUACUUCCCCGUCUCUCUUGCUGGAUCAAGAAGGCGGAGAUCGCCAUCGAGCUAUACGUGUGCUGAACGCGGAGGUGCCGUCCGUUCGGCGCUAGAUCAGAACGGAUCAUGGGACGACGGUGAUUUGAAUCACAAAGCCGUUCCACUACAUGAACUGCGUUUCUUAAUGCUUCCCGCUUAGCGACCUACAAGGGUAUGUGGAUCCGAUCUCCCACUCUUAGAUGAACAUCACCAUGAUAGGUCUUCGUGUGCGUAGGAAUUUUUUUGUUUCCCAUGCAACGUUCCCCAAUAGUGGCAUCGUGUUCUAGGUUCAUGCGUAGAUGUAAUAUCGAGUAGAACACUUAAGUUUUUGUGGGCAUUGAUGUUCGAUUUGCUGCCCUCCUUAGUCUUUUAUCAAUUCGGCGGUAUUGUUGGAUUGAAGCGUCCCGGACCAACAUUACUCGUACGCUUACGAGAGACCAGUUUCAUCGACUAACAUGCAACUCGUUCCAUAACGAUGACUGGCGGGUGCUGGUUCUUCAACUUUAGUUGAAUUGGAUUUGACCGAGGCGGUCCUUGGAGAGAGGGUAAAUAGCAAUUUGCACAUCUCCAUUGUAGUUUUGCGUAAGUAAGAUGCGAUCGUACUAGAUACACAUAGCAGCCACGUAAAACAUGCAACAACAAAUUAGAGGACGUCUAACUUGUUUUUGCAGGCUAUGCAUGUGAUGUGAUAUGGCCAAAGACAGGAUGUGAUAUAUUGGAUGUAUGAUAUGAUCAUGUUGUAAUAGUUAAAUAUCCACUUGCACUUAGAUGCUACGACAACCGGCAGGAGCCAUAAGGUUGUCUUUAAACUAUCUUCUGUGUUUGCAGAUGCGUUUACUAUAUUGCUAGGUUGUAGAUUUAGUAGUAAUAGCAUAGAUAGCACGACAACAUCGAUGGCAGCACGAUGAUGGAGAUCUUGAUGAUGGAGAUCAUGGUGUGGCACCGGUGACGAUGAAGAUCAUGCCGGUGCUUUGGUGAUGGAGAUCAAGAAGCACAAGAUCAUGGACAUAUCAUGUCACUUAUGAAUUGCAUGUGAUGUUAAUCCUUUUAUGCACCUUAUCUUGCUUAGAACGACGGUAUCAUUAUAAGGUGGUCCCUCACUAAAAUUUGAAGAUAAAAUUGUGUUCUCCCCGACUAUGCGCCAUUGCGACAGUUCAUCAUUUCAAGACACCAUGUGAUGAUCGGGUGUGAUAGAUUCAACGUUCACAUACAAUGGUUGCAAAACAGUUGCACACGCGGAACACUCGGGUUAAACUUGACGAGCCUAGAGUGUGCAGACAUGGCCCCAGAAUACAUGAGACCGAAAGGUCGAGCAUGAAUCAUAUAGUUGAUAUGAUUAACAUAGAGAUGUUUAGCACUGAAACUGCAGUCAACUCACGUGAUGAUCGGACUUGUGUUAGUGAAUUUGGAUCAUCCCACACUCAAAUAACUAGAGGGAUGUCUAUUUGAGUGGGAGUUUAUUAGUAAUUUGAUUAGCUAAACUCUAAUUGUCUUGAACAUAGUCUAAGUCCACUUUGCAAUAUUUUAUGUUGUAGAUCAAUGGCUCACGCAGUAGCAACCCUGAAUUUCAAUACGUUCCUAGAGAAAGCUAAGUUGAAAGAUGAUGGUAGCAACUUUGUAGACUGGGCUCAUAAUCUCAGGCUCAUCCUGCAAGCUGGGAAAAAGAAUUAUGUCCUUGAUGCUGUGCUAGGAGAUGAACCAUCCUCAACGUCUGAUCAAGAUGUUUUGAACGCUUGGCAAGCACGUAAGGAGGACUACUCAGUAGUUCAAUUGUAGUCUUGUAUGGCUUAGAACCAGGACUUCAACGAUCUUUGAACGUCAUGGAGCAUAUGAGAUGUUCCAGGAGUUGAAGUUUAUCUUUCAGAAGAACGCCCGAAUCGAGGGGUAUGAGACCUUCAAUAAAUUCUACGCUUGCAAGAUGGAGGAGAAUUCGUCUGUCAGUGAACAUGUGCUCAAAAUGUCUGGGGUACUCAUACCGUCUAGCUGAUAUGGGAUUGAAUUCCCGCAAGAGUCUAUCACUAACAGAAUUCUUCAAUCACUGCCACCUAGCUACAAGAGCUUUGUGUUGAACUAUAACAUGCAAGGGAUGAACAAGUCACCCAGUGACUUAUUCGCGAUGCUGAAAGUCGCAGAGUCAGAACUCCCGAAAGAACAUCAAGUGUUGAUGGUGAAUAAGACCACUGGUUUCAAGAAAAGCGGCAAAGGCAAGAAGGGUAACUCCAAGAAGAGUGGAAAAGCUGUUGCUCCUUCGACGAAGAAACCCAAGGCUGGACCUAAGUCGGAAACUGAGUGCUAUUAUUGCAAGGGGAUGGGUCACUGGAAGCGCAACUGCCCCAAGUAUUUGGCUGAUAAGAAGGCGGCCAACGCCAAACCAGGUAUAUGUGAUAUACAUGUUAUUGUUGUGUACCUAACCAACUCUCGUAGUAGUGCCUCGGUAUUUGAUACUGGUUCUGUUGCUCAUAUUUGCAACUCGAAGCAGGAACCGCGGAAUAAACGAAGGCUGGAGAAGGAUGAAGUGACGAUGCGCGUGGGAAAUGGUUCCAAGGUUGAUGCAAUCGCCAUCGACACAGUCUCACUUCAGUUACCAUCAGGAUUAGUUAUCAACUUAAAUAAUUGUUAUUUAGUGCGUGCGUUAAGCAUGAACAUUAUAUCUGGAUCUUGUUUAUUACGAGACGGUUACUCAUUUAAGUCAGAGAAUAAUGGUUGUUCUAUUUAUAUGAGUAAUAUAUUUUAUGGUCAUGCACCCAAUGUGAGGGGUUUGUUCAUAUUGAAUCUUGAUUGUGAUGAUACACAUAUACAUAACAUUGAGACCAAAAGAUGUAGAGUUAACAAUGAUAGUGCCACCUUUUUGUGGCACUGUCGCUUAGGUCAUAUUGGUAUAAAGCGCAUGAAGAAACUCCAUGUUGAUGGGCUUUUGGAGUCACUUGAUUUCGAAUCACUUGACACGUGUGAACCAUGCCUCAUGGGAAAGAUGACUAAGACUCUAUUCUUCGGAACAAUGGAGCGUGCAAGUGACUUGUUGGAGAUCAUACAUACUGAUGUGUGUGGUCCAAUGGGGGUGGAGGCGCACGGCGGAUAUCGUUAUUUUCUCACUUUCACUGAUGAUUUGAGUAGGUAUGGAUAUAUCUACUUGAUGAAGCACAACUCUGAAACAUUUGAAAAGUUCAAGAAAUUUGAGAGUGAAGUUGAAAAUCAUCGUAACAAGAAGAUCAAGUUCCUACGAUCUGAUCGAGGGGGCGAAUAUCUGAGUUUCGAGUUUGGUGCUCACUUAACACAAUCUUGAAUCGUUUCACAGGUUAAACCGCCUGGAACACCACAGCGUAAUGGUGUGUCCGAACGUUGUAAUCGUACUUUGUUAGAUAUGGUGUGAUCUAUGAUAUCUCUUACCGAUUUGCCAUUAUCGUUUUGGGGUUAUGCAUUAGAGACAGCUGCAUUCACUUCAAAUAGGGCACCAUCAAAAUCCGUUGAGACGACACCAUAUGAGCUAUGGCAUGGCAAGAGGCCAAAGUUAUCGCUUCUUAAAGUUUGGGGAUGCGAUGCUUAUUUCAAAAAGCUUCAACCCGAAAAGCUGGAACCUGAUAAACGUAUCUAUAAUUUUUGAUGGUUUCACGCUGUUAUCUUGCCUUCUUUGUAUGUUUUAUGUACCUUUUUAUAUCUUUUUGGGACUAACUUAUUAAUUCAGUGCCAAGUGCCAGUUCCUGUUUUUCCCGUGUUUUUGACUCUUUUCAGAUCUGAUUUUGGAACGGAGUCCAAACGGAAGAAAAACCCCGAAAUGAUAUUUUCCCGAACGGGAGAAGUCCAGGGGGCUUUUGGGCCAAGCCAGGUGGGCUCCAAGGAGCUCACAAGCCCCCACUCCGCCACCAGGGGAGGCGGCGGUGGGCAGGCUUGUGGCCUCCCUGGCUGCCCCCUGACCUAGGUCUUUGGCCUAUAAAUUCCCAAAUAUUCCGCAAAAAAUCACGGGAGCCUCGAAAAUACUUUUCCACCGCUGCAAGCUUCCGUUUCCGCGAGAUCUCAUCUGGAGACCCUUCCCGGCACCCUGUCGGAGGGGACUUUGGAGUUGGAGGGCUUAUUCAUCAUCAUCAUCACCCCUCCAAUGACUCGUGAGUAGUUCACUUCACACCUACGGGUCCGUAGUUAGUAGCUAGAUGUCUUCUUCUCUCUCUUGGAUCUUCUAUACAAAGUUCUCCAUGAUCUUCAUGGAGAUCUAUCCGAUGUAAUCUUCUUUGGCGGAGUGUUUGUCGAGAUCCGAUGAAUUGUGGACUUGUGAUCAGAUUAUCUAUGAUAUAUAUUUGAGUCUUUGCUGAUUUCUUAUAUGCAUGAUUUGAUAUCCUUGUAAGUCUCUCCGAGUCUUGGGUUUUGUUUGGCCAACUAGAUCUAUGAUUCUUGCAAUGGGAGAAGUGCUUGGUUUUGGGUUCUGCCAUGUGGUGACCUUUCCCAGUGACAGUAGGGGCAACAAGGCACACAUCAAGCAGUUGCCAUCAAGGGUAAAAAGAUGGGGUUUUUAUCAUUGGUUUGAGAUUAUCCCUCUACAUCAUGUCAUCUUGCUUAAGGCAUUACUCUGUUCUUAUGGACUUAAUACACUAGAUGCAUGCUGGAUAGCGGUCGACGUGUGGAGUAAUAGUAGUAGAUGCAGAAAGUAUCGGUCUACAUGUUUCAGACGUGAUGCCUAUAGAAAUAAUCAUUGCAUAGAUAUCGUCAUGACUCUACACAGUUCUAUCAAUUGCUCGACAGUUAUUUGUUCACCCACCGUCUACUUGCUUUCAUGAGAGAAGCCACUAGUAAACACUACGGCCCCCGGGUCUAUUCACAUCCAUCGUUUACAUCUCCGCUUUUACCUUGCUUUGAUACUUUGUUGCUUUCAGUUCUCACUUGGCAAACAAUCUAUAAGGGAUUGACAAACCCUCCAUAGCGCUGGGUGCAAGCUUUUGUGUUUGUGCAGGAUCUUGAGAUACUCUUCCGCCGGAUUGAUACCUUGGUUCUCAAACUAAGGGAAAUACUUACCAUCGCUAUGCUACAUCACCCUUUCCGCUUCGAGGGAACACCAACGCAAGGCUCCAAGGCCACGGGGGAAAUCCUUUGCAUACUUGCCUAGGAAGUCCCUUAAGGCAUAGCCGUAGCUGAAGGAUUCCUGGUGCCGUCGACACAACUAUUUCUGGCGCCGUUGCAAGGGAUACACAGCAAAUAUCAGAAGUAUUUCUGGCGCCGUUGCCGGGGAGGAGAAAUCAAGAUCUAUCCAAGUAGGUCUCACAAACUCUUCUCUUGCAUUUACUUUUGUUGCCAGUUGCCUCUCGUUUUCCUCUCCCCCACUUCACAUUUGCCUUUCUCCUUUGACUUUUUUGUUUGCUAUUUUUGUUCGCCCUUUUCUCUCGCUUGCUUUAUGUUCACUUGUGUGUCAUGUGCCUUCAAAAUGCUUGCAUCUUCGCUUGCUGAAAAUCUAUUGAUAUGGAUCCUCAUCCACUAGCUAGUCUCUUUAAGAGACCCACUAUUGUGGAACGAAUUGCUAGUGAGUUGAGGGCAAUUGACUUUUUCUAUGGAGUUUUGCUUAAGAUGCGUGAAUCUGAAAAUUGCGAGGAAGAAAUUCAUGAAGUGAUUCACGAGGGCUCAUUGGAUGAAAAGCAUGAUUGCAAUGGUUUCACUACAAAUUCUAUUAGUGACAAUCAUGCUAAAAUUAUGCAAAACCCUAAGCUUGAGGAUGCUAGUCUUGCUAUGACCACUACUUGUAGCAAAGAUCAUGAUUGGGGUGAGGAUUUUUCUUCUGAUCUUGAAAAUUUGUUCAAGCCUCAAGAUGAAUAUGAUAUUUGCAAUAUUAUUGAAAGUGGGUUUGGAGAAGUCAUGACUUUAGAUGAUAAUCCCACUAUUUUUGAAGAGCGUCAACUUUGCAUGCAUGUGGAUCAUGAAAAGAAUAUCCUAUGGGAUAGCUAUAUUGUUGAAUUUGAAUAUGAUCCCACAUGUAAUUGCUAUGAGGGAGGAAAAUAUUUUGGUAGAAACUUUCAUGUUACCAAAUCACCUCUCGUGAUGUUGAGAUUGCUCUUGUCUCUUUCUUCUUCCUUGCAUAUGGCAGCUAUUGGUUGUCUUGACAAUUUGUUUUGCUAUAAAAUGCCUAUGCAUAGGAAGUAUGUUAGACUUAUAUGUGAUUUUCACAUGCUUUAUGAUGCUCUCGUUGUGCUUCAAUUCUUGUCUUUUGUGAGAGCAUCAUUGAAUGCCUAGCUAAGGGCGUUAAACAAAAACGCUUGUUGGGAGGCAAUUCAACGAAUCUAUCCUUUUUCUUUCUGUUUUGUGUUUUUCACACUUUCAUAAUUCUGUUAUGAUUGUGUUUUUGUGUUUCUUUUUGCGUUUGUGCCAAGCAAAACCGUUAUGAUUAGUCUUGAGGAUGAUCGUUUGGUCAUGUUGGAAAAGACAAAAACUUUCUGCUCACGAAAAGAAUUUUCAUUUUUUUUCUGUAAGUGUUUUUGAGUUUAUUCUUUUUGCUGCUGAUUUCUACGCUAAUUCUUCAGACUGUCGUAAGUUUUCAGAAGUUUUGAUGUACCAUAGGUAUACGAAACAUACAGAUUUAUAUAGACUGGUCUGCUGUUAACAGAUUCUGUUUUUGUUGUGUUGGUUGCUUAUUUUGAUGAAACUAUGGAUAGUAUCAGGGGGUAUUAGCCAUGGAAGAUUGAAAGUACAGUAACCCAACAUCAGCACAAGUAGAAUUUAAGUUUGCUACAGUACCUAAGGAAGUGGUGGUUUGCUUUCUUGUACUAAUGUUAUCACGAGUUUCUGUUUAAGUUUUGUGUUGUGAAGUUUUCAAGUUUUGGGUGAAGUUCUUAUGGACAAAAAGAUAAAGAGUGGCAAGAGCUCAAGCUUGGGGAUGCCCAAGGCACCUCAAGAGACUCAAGUAUGCCGUAAAAGCCUAAGCUUGGGGAUGCCCCGGGAAGGCAUCCCCUCGCUCGUCUUCAAUCCAUCGGUAACGUUACUUGGGGCUAUAUUUUUAUUCACCGCAUGUUAUGUGUUUUUUCUUGGAGCGUCUUGUAUCGUAGGAGUCUUUUAUUUUUGUUGUGUCACAAUCAUCCUUGCUGCACACCUAGAUAGAGAUACAUGCACACACCGUGAUUUUGUCGAGCUUCACUUAUAUCUUUUGGUAGACAAUUCAGCUCACAUGUGCUUCACUUAUAUCUUUUGAGCUAGAUACUUUUUCUCUAUGUGCUUCACUUAUAUAUUUUAGAGCACAGCGGUGCGUGGCUUGGUAGUUGAUCUAUGCUUUGAAAGUAGUCUCAAAAGGGGUAGUUAUCCAAAGGGAUACGAAAACUUCCACCCUCAUGUGCAUUGAAUAGUUAGAGAAGUUUGAUUCAUCUCAAUUAGUUUUGAGUUGUGGUUAUGGUAAUAUUGAAGUCAUGCUUGUAAGGUAUUGUGGAUCUAGGAAUACUUGUGUUGAAGUUAGUGAUUCCCGUAGCAUGCACGUAUGGUGAACCGCUAUGUGAUGAAGUCUGAGCAUGAUUAGUAUAUUGGUUUUCAUCCUUUGCCUGGCGGUCGGGAUCACGCGAUGGUUUAUACCUACCAACCAUUCCCCUAGGAGUAUGCGUUGAAUGCUUUGUUUCGAUUACUAAUAAAACUUUUGCAACAAGUAUAUGAGUUCUUCAUGACUAAUGUUGAGUCCAUGGUUUAGAUGCACUUUCACCUUCCACCAUCAUUAUCUUCUUAGUGCCAUGCAACUUCCGUCGGUGCACAAAACCCACCAUUAGCCUCCCUCAAAACAGCCACCAUACCUACCUACUAUGGCUAUUUCAAAGUCAUUCCGAGAUAUAUUGCCAUGAAACUACCACCAUGAUAUGUGCCACCACGUCUACAUUGCCAUUACAUGAUCGUAAGAUAGAUAGCAUGCUGUUUCCAUUGAUGUCUAUGCCAUGCUAGAUCAUUGCCAUGGUACACUACCGAAGGCAUUCCAUAUAGAGUCAUAGUUGCUCUAAGUUUUGAGUUGAAAGUGUGAUUCAUUAUUGGAGCAUUGUCCCAUGUGAGGAAAUAAAAGAGGCCAAAGAAGCCCAUAAAAAAAAGAGGCCAAAGAGCCCGCCAAAAUAAAAAAAAUGAGAGAAAAAGAGAGAAGGGACAAUGCUACCACUUUUUCCACACUUGUGCAUAUUGAGCACCAUAAUCUUCAUGAUUGAGAGUCUCUCGUUUUGUCACCACCAUAUAGCUAGUGGGAAAUUCUCAUUAUAUAACUUGGCUUGUAUAUUCCAAUGAUAGGCUUCCUCAAAAUUGCCUUAGGUCUUCGUGAGCAAGCAAGUUGGAUGCACACCCACUAGUUUUCUUUAAGAGCUUUCACAUACUUGUAGCUCUAGUGCAUCAUUUGUAUGGCAAUCCCUACUCAUUCACAUUGGUAUCUAUUGAUGAGCAUCUCCACAGCUCAUUUAUAUGCCUAGUUAAUGUGACUAUCUUCUCCUUUUUGUCUUGCAACCUCCACCACAUUUCACCCAUCUAUAGUGCUAUAACCAUGUCUCACGCUCAUGUAUUGCGUGAGAGUUGAAAAUGUUUGAGAAAGUAAAGGUGUGAAACAAUUACUUGGCCAAUACCGGGGAUGUGCAUGAUUUAAAUUCGUUGUGCAAUGAUGAUAGAGCAUAGACAGACUAUAUGCUUUUGUAGGGAUAAGUUUCUUUUGGCCUUGUUAUUUUGAAAGUUCAUGAUUACUUUGCUAGUUUGCUUGAAUUAUUAUUGUUUCCACGUCAAUAGCAAACUAUUGUUUUGAAUCUAAUGGAUCUGAACAUUCACGUCACAUAAGAGGAAUUACAAAGGACACCUAUGCUAGGUAGCAUGAAAGCAUCAAAAAUUCAUUCUUAUCACUUCCCUACUCGAGGACGAGCAUGAGUUAAGCUUGGGGAUGCUUGAUACGUCUCAAACGUAUCUGUAAUUUUUGAUGGUUUCACGCUGUUAUCUUGCCUUCUUUGUAUGUUUUAUGUACCUUUUUAUAUCUUUUUGGGACUAACUUAUUAAUUAAGUGCCAAGUGCCAGUUCCUGUUUUUUCCGUGUUUUUGACUCUUUUCAGAUCUGAUUUUGGAACGGAAUCCAAACGGAAGAAAAACCCCGAAAUGAUUUUUUCCCGAACGGAAGAAGUCCAGGGGGCUUUUGGGCCAAGCCAGGUGGGCUCCAGGGAGCCCACAAGACCCCACUCCGCCACCAGGGGGACACGGCGGUGGGCAGGCUUGUGGCCUCCCUGGCCGCCCCCUGACCUAGGUCUUUGGCCUAUAAAUUCCCAAAUAUUCCGCAAAAAAUCAGGGGAGCCUCGAAAAUACUUUUCUGCCGCCGCAAGCUUCCGUUUCCGCGAGAUCUCAUCUGGAGACCCUUCCCGGCACCCUACCGGAGGGGACUUUGGAGUUGGAGGGCUUCUUCAUCAUCAUCGUCGCCCCUCCAAUGACUCGUGAGUAGUUCACUUCAGACCUACGGGUCCGUAGUUAGUAGCUAGAUGGCUUCUUCUCUCUCUUGGAUCUUCAAUACAAAGUUCUUCAUGAUCUUCAUGGAUAUCUAUUCGAUGUAAUAUUUUUUGGCGGUGUGUUUGUCGAGAUCCGAUGAAUUGUGGACUUGUGAUCAGAUUAUCUAUGAUAUAUAUUUGAGUCUUUGCUGAUUUCUUAUAUGCAUGAUUUGAUAUCCUUGUAACUCUCUCCGAGUCUUGUGUUUUGUUUGGCCAACUAGAUCUAUGAUUCUUGCAAUGGGAGAAGUGCUUGGUUUUGGGUUCUGCCAUGUGGUGACCUUUCCCAGUGACAGUAGGGGCAGCAAGGGACACAUCAAGCAGUUGCCAUCAAGGGUAAAAAGAUGGGGUUUUUAUCAUUGGUUUGAGAUUAUCCCUCUACAUCAUGUCAUCUUGCUUAAGGCGUUACUCUGUUCUUAUGGACUUAAUACACUAGAUGCAUGUGUGGAUAGCGGUCGACGUGUGGAGUAAUAGUAGUAGAUGCAGAAAGUAUCGGUCUACUUGUUUCGUACGUGAUGCCUAUAGAAAUAAUCAUUGCAUAGAUAUCGUCAGGACUCUACACAGUUCUAUCAAUUGCUCGACAGUAAUUUGUUCACCCACGUCUACUUGCUUUCAUGAGAGAAGCCACUAGUAAACACUACGGCCCCCGGGUCUAUUCACAUCCAUCGUUUACAUCUCCGCUUUUACCUUGCUUUGUGACUUUGUUUCUUUCAGUUCUCACUUGGCAAACAAUCUAUAAGGGAUUGACAACCCCUUCAUAGCGUUGGGUGCAAGCUUUUGUGUUUGUGCAGGAUCUUGAGAUACUCUUCCGCCGGAUUGAUACCUUGGUUCUCAAACUGAGGGAAAUACUUACCGUCGCUGUGCUACAUCACCAUUUCCGCUUAGAGGGAACACCACCGCAAGGCUCAAAGGCCACGGGGGAAAUCCUUUGCAUACUUGCCUAGGAAGUCCCUUAAGGCGUAGCCGUAGCUGAAGGAUUCCUGGUGCCGUCUACACAACUAUUUCUGGCGCCUUUGCAAGGGAUACACAGCAAACAUCAGAACCCAAAGCGGAAAAGUGCGUCUUCAUAGGUUACCCAAAAGAGACAGUUGGGUACACAUUCUAUCUCAGAUCCGAGGGCAAAGUGUUUGUUGCUAAGAACGUAGCUUUUCUUGAGAAGGAGUUUCUCUCGAAAGAAUUGAGUGGGAGGAAGAUCGAACUUGAUGAGGUUGUGGAACCUCUGCUCCCUGUAGAUGGUGGCAUAUGGCAGAGAGAAAUUUGUGUUGAGGCAACACCGGUUGAGGAGGAAGCUAAUGAUGGUGAUCAUAAAGCUUCGGAUCAAGUUACUGUCAGACCUCGCAGGUCAACAAGAUCAUGUACUGCUCCCGAGUGGUACUAGAAUCCUGUCUUAUCUAUCAUGUUGUUAGAAAACAAUGAGCCCGCGAAUUAUGAAGAAGCAAUGGUGGACCUGGAUUCCGACAAAUGGUUAGAGGCCAUGAAGUCCGAGAUAGGAUCUAUGUAUGAAAACAAAGUAUGGACUUUCGAAGUAUUACAUGAAGGUCGCAAGGCUAUUCAGAACAAAUGGAUCUUUAAGAAGAAGACGGAUGCGGACGGUAAUGUGACCGUUUAUAAAGCUCGACUUGUGGCAAUGGGUUUUUCACAAGUUCAAGGAGUUGACUACGAUGAGACAUUCUCACCGGUAGCGAUGCUUAAGUCCGUCCAAAUCAUGUUAGCAAUACUUGCAUAUUUCGAUUAUGAAAUCUAGCAGAUGGAUGUGAAAACGGUGUUCCUUAAUGGUUUUCUUAAGGAAGAGUUGUAUAUGAUGCAACCCGAAGGUUUUGUCGAUCCGAAGAAUGCUAACAAAGUAUGCAAGCUCCAGCGAUCCAUUUAUGGACUGCUGCAAAUCUCAGAGUUGGAAUAAGCGCUUCGAUGAGGUGAUCAAGGCAUUUGGGUUUAUACGAGUUGUUGGAGAAUCUUGGAUUUCCAAGAAAGUGAGUGGGAGAUCUGUAGGAUUUCUAAUAUUAUACGUGGAUGACAUAUUGCUGAUUGGAAACAAUGUGGAGUUUUUAGAGAGCGUAAAGGAUUACUUGAACAAAUGUUUUUCAAUGAAAGACCUAGGAGAAGCUGCUUACAUAUUGGGCAUUAAGAUCUAUAGGGAUAGAUCGAGGCGCCUAAUAAGACUUUCACAAAGCACAUACCUUAAUAAAGUUAAAAAUGGAGCAGUCCAAGAAGGGUUCUUGCCAGUGUUACAAGAUAUAAAGUUGAGUAAGACUCAGUGUCCAGUAAGUGCGGAAGAUAGAGAAAAGAUGAGUACCGUCCCCUAUGCUUCAACCAUUGGGUCUAUCAUGUAUGCAAUGUUGUGCACGAGACUGGACGUCAGCCUGGCCACAAAUAUGGCAGGCAGGUUUCAAAGUGAUCCAGGAGUGGAAUACUGGGCGGCGGUCAAGAAUAUUCUGAAGUACCUGAAAGGACUAAUGAAUGUUUCUCGUUUAUGGAAGUGAUGAAGAGCUCGUCGUAAAGGGUUACGUCGAUGCAAGCUUUGACACUGAUCCGGAUGACUCUAAUUCUCAAACGAGAUACGUAUUUAUUCUCAAUGGGGUGCGGUAAGCUGGUGCAGUUCCAAGUAAAGCGUCAUAGCAGAUUCUACAUGUGAAGCGGAGUACAUGGCUGCAUUGAAGGAAGCUAAGGAAGGUGUCUGGAUGAAGCAGUUCAUGACGGAUCUUGGAGUUGUGCCGAGCACACUAAAUCCAAUAACUCUGUUCUGUGACAACACUGGUGCCAUUGCUCUAGCAAAGCAACCAAGGUUUCACAAGAAGACCAGACACAUCAAACGACGCUUCAACCUCAUCUGCGACUAUGUCGAAGGAGAGGACGUAAAUAUUUGCAAAGUGCACACGGAUCUGAAUGUUGCAGAUCCGCUGACUAAACAUCUUCCACGAGCGAAGCAUGAUCAACACCAGAACAGUAUGGGUCUUAGAUUCAUUCCAAUGUAAAUCGCAUAGCGAUGUGAGACUAGAUUACUUACUCUAGUGCAAGUGGGAGACUAUUGGAAAUAUUCCCUAGAGGCAAUGAUAAAAUAGUUAUUAUUACAUUUCCUGUUUCAAGAUAAUCGUUUAUUAUCCAUGCUAUAGUUGUAUUGAAUGAACACAUAAAUGCACGUGUGGAUAUAUAGAGAAAACAAUGUCCCUAGUAAGCCUCUAGUUGACUAGCCAGUUGAUCAUGGAUGGUUAAGGUUUUCUGACCAUAUGCAAGUGUUGUCACUUGAUGAAUGGAUCACAUCAUUAGGAGAAUGAUGUGAUGGACAAGACCCAAACUAUAAACGUAGCAUGUGAUUGUGUUACUUUGUUGCUAUUGUCUUCUGCGUGUCAAGUAUUCAUUCCUAUGACCAUGAGAUCUUGUAACUCACUGCCACCAGAGGAAUACCUUGUGUGUAUCAAACGUCGCAACGUUACUGGGUGACUAUAAAGGUGCUCUAUAGGUAUCUCUGAAGGUGUCCAUUGAGUUAGCAUGGAUCACCACUAGGAUUUGUCACUCCGUGUGACGGAGAAGUAUCUCGGGGCCCACUCGGUAAUACAACAUCACAUAUAAGCCUUGCAAGCAAUUUGACUCAAGUGUUAGUCACUGUAUCUUGUAUUACGGAAGGAGUAAAGAGACUUGCCGCUAACGAGAUUGAAAUAGGUAUAGGGAUACCGACGAUCAAAUCUCGGGCAAGUAACAUACCAGAGGACAAAGGGAAUGGUAUACAAGAUUAUAUGAAUCCUUAGCACAGAGGUUCAACCGAUAAGAUAUUUGUAGAAUAUGUAGGAUCCAACAUGGACAUCCAGGUCCCGCUGUUGGAUAUUGACCGGGGAGUGUCUCAGGUCAUGUCUGCAUAGUUCUCGAACUCGCAGGAUCUGCACACUUAAGGUUCGAUGACGUUUCGGUAUAGUUGAGUUAUAGGUGUUGGUGGACAAAGUUUGUUCGUAGUCCCAUAUGAGAUCAAGGAUGUCACAAAGGGUUUCCAGAAUGGUCUGAAAAUGAAGAUUGAUAUAUAGGAUUGUUUCAUUUGGCCUCCAGAAAGAUUUCUGGUAUUACCGGCAGUGUACCGGGAGUGACGAAUGGGUUCUGGGUCUUUACCGGGAGGGACCCACCUACCCGGGAGAGAACCCAAUAGCCUAAGGGUUGCUCACCAGCCCUUAGUGGGCUGGUGAGGCCAGCCCAAGUGGGUUAUGUCGGCUAGAAGGAAAAAAUCAAAGGAAAAAAAGAGGGAGGUGGGAAGGAAGGAGGGGAUUCAUCCCCUUCCAAAUCGAAUUGGAGUUGGAAUCUCCUCCUCCUUUCUCGGCCGACGCCCUAGGGGCUCUCUUGAGCCCCAAGGCUAGCCCCUCCCCUCCUCCUAUAUAUACUAGAGAUUUUAGGGUUUUUGAGACACAACUUUUGCCACGUGCAACCCUAAACCUCUACUUCGUAGUUCUUCCUCUAGAACGGGUUUCUGUGGAGCUCGGGCAGAGCCCAGCAGGAAUAGAUCAUCACCAUCACCGGCGCGUCGUCACGCUGCCAGAGAACUCAUCUACAUCCCCAUCUCUCUUGCUGGAUCAAGAAGGCUGAGAUCAAAAUCGAGUUGUACGUGUGCUGAACGCGGAGGUGUCGUCCGUUCGGCUCUAGUUCGGAACGGAUCGUGGGACGACAGUGAUUUGAAUCAUGAAGCUGUUCCACUACAUCAACCACGUUUCUUAAUGCUUCCCGCUGAGCGAUCUACAAGGGUAUGUGGAUCCGAUCUCCCUCUCAUAGAUGAACAUCACCAUGAUAGGUCUUCGUGUGCGUAGGAAAUUUUUUGUUUCCCAUGCAACGUUCCCCAACAUGUUUUUCACGUGCUGUUUUUUGCAAGUAACUCUCCAUCAAGUCACUGUAAUUGAGAAGUGAUAUACAGAUGUAAAGCUAUUGUAAACACACAACUUUUUUGUGUUGAUGCUGUUGUUUCAUACUCGCGACGGUUUAAAAUAUAUUCAUAUGACAUUCAUGCAGUGUAUUAGUUGACCUUCCCCGAGUGCUAGGUUGAACUUCCACUAAUAUUGUCCAAAUGGGGCUUGCAAUAUAUAGUUGGAAAGCUAUGGGCACCAUGAUAACAACCUAGGUUGAAUUUUUGUCAAAAUGUUCAUGGUUUAAGAGCUGUUUUGAAAACCGUUUUUGUUCAUACAAAAAAGGUGAAUCGUGUUAUCAAGGCUAUUUCUAAACCGUUCGUGGGAAUGAGACUAAUGAGAUUGCUAUAAAUCCUCUCAUUUCAUAUGUUUAAAGUUUUCCCAAUUUUCCUACGGUUAAAGAGGAAUUUCAAAAAUGGCGGAAUUUCUGAAACCGAAAAGUUGGGUACAUAUUUCGGGGUUAAUUUGAAAAUGGCUAGUACGAUAGACACAAAUGAUAUGUCGUUAGAAACUUAUGAAAAUGUGCAUAUUUUAUUAUAAAUAGUUUCUUCUACUAUUAACGGUUUAAAAGUAAUUUAGAAAACGGCACAAGUUGUACCGAGUUCGUAUUUUAGCGUUAACUUCACAAUGGUUUGUCGGAACGGAGCAAAUGAUCUCACGUUGGAAAGAUAAUGAAAUACGACACUUUUAUAUGUAGAUUUUUUUCCAAUUACUUAUGGUUUUUAGUCAGUUUUAAAAAUGGGUAAAAAUGUUUUUUGGCCGCAGGUUUUACAAACUUUAUCAAAAUGGGUCAAAUAAUAUACCGCUGAAAAGCUACAGUAAAUGAAAAAAAAUGAUGUAGAUAGUUUUCUCUCAUUCCUAGCCGUUUUUAAGGCAUCUUGAAAACAAUGAGAUCAUGCGUUCUUCCUGUAUUGUGAAAAAGAUUCUUGGAAAAUGCACCGCGUGAAGAACGUGAUCUUCUCGGCUUGUCUCCAUGAACUUCACUUUGUUUUUUCACGUGUUGUUUUUUAUAGUACACUCCAUCCACUCACCGGAAUUGAGAAAAUGAUAUACCGAUGGAAAACUGCUGUAAAUACGCAACUUUUCCAUGUUGGGGAUUUGUUCAUACCCGGGGUAGUUUAAAAUAUUUUCAUGUGAAAUUCAUGCAGUGUAGUAGUUUAACUUUCCGCUGUUUUCACAUCGAACUUCUAUCGCGUAUUUUCGUUUGUAAUUUCUCACCCAUUUGUCGGUGUUACACAAAUGAUAUUCCUUUUGUACAUACCUGUCUCACAAUAAUUGUUUUUCACUUUCUCCAACCGAGGACUUGAAUUUAUAGCAACAAAAAAUGUGGACCUUGGCUUUUUAUUCAUUUUUGUCACACCAAACACACACCAUGUAGUACGUGAACUUUCUCCAUUUUUUUAAUUUCAAUUUUUGAAUUUUUUUAAAUCGAAUUACUCCCAAAUAAUAGCUAAAAUUAUUUGUGGGUUCAGAGAAUUAUUAUAAAUAGAAAAAAUAAUUUCUUUUUCUGUUUUUGAACAUGGAAAUACAAGGUGAACCUAUCUUGCAAGCAUUUUUGAACUCACACGGGCCGAGCACGUGAACUUCUUUCAACAAACCUUUUAAGCUUUUAUAUUCCUAUUCGCUUAUUCUCAUAUGAAACACAUUCCUUGUAGUACUUAGACUUCUCACUGUUUUCACUAUGAACUUUUGUCAUGUUUUUUGUUUGUAAUUCCUCAACCGCUCCUUGGAGUUACACAAAUGAUGUACCAUUAGAAAAUCCAUUGAAAAGAAACAACUUUUUCUAAUACGGUUAACUUUUCUUUUUGAACAACAUACAACAAUUUUUCAUGGAUUGAGAGACUUACUGAAAAACACCAAAAGAACACUUCUUUGAACUUCAACCAAAACUCAAUUAUAUUUUAAACAUCACAACGAAUAGUAGCUAUUUGAAAAAAUUUCAAAUUAGUUACAUGUGUAUUUUUUUGGAUCAUUGUAGUUUCAAAAAAACAUAGGCACAUAAGGGAGAGAGAAUUAUGUAUGCAUAAAGUGGAUAGCAAUUUUGAAAUUUCCCUUGCCAAGAACUUGAACUUCUAGCAGCAAAAGUUUACAUUUUGUGAGUUGGUUUUAAAAAUUCCAAAAAUGGCGAUGGGUUUUGUUUUUGUUUUUUGAACAAGCAAAUCCUAGGUUCUAAUAAACACUAAAUUUUGUGUCAUUUUAAUUAGAACUUCAUAUUGGUUUUAUUUUCUAAUAGCGGUUAGAAUUCGAGAUUUUAAUAAACAUUGAACCGCUCCAUUAUAUGAAAUUGAACUUCUAGGUCUUUUUAGAAAUGGAUAAAUAGAUUUACUAAUUAAACUUUUUAAACUAUUUUUGUUAUUUAAUUUGGUCUUCCGUUGUGUGUAUUUUGAUGGUGCGUACCUUUUUUGUUAGAACAUGUUCGUAUAAACGUAGUCUAUUAAAAUUCUUUCACUUAUAGGCUAGUUCUAAUACAUGAUAUUUCUACACAAUGAUCUAUGAACUUCUCUUAACAUAAAUUUCAUUGAGCAUUUUUCUAACCACGAAACAUACAUGAAGGAGGUUGAGGUUGUGCAUGCGAGAUGCAUCACCAUGUAGGAAAGUUUCGGGAGCUCUUUUAACAAUGCAGGGUCAAAAGUAGUCUCACAUCCAUCAAACUUCAUAACCACGAGUUUUGAACUUGCAAAAAUGUUAAAAUGAAGACUUAUUUUUCCUAGUAAAUGUAGUCCUAAAUAGACAGGAUAAGAGUCAGCAAGCACAACAGUACUGGUGCAUUACAUAUUCCCAGCGAUACGAGUUGUUGUUUGGUCCUAUCUCUUCUUCAACAACUUAAAAAAAAAUAAGUACUAUCAAUCACAUCACCCAGACUCACAAACAGGGCACACCAUAUGAUUUUUAGGAUACCUAGUAUGAGUGAUAAUGGAAAAAAAUAAUAAGCUUCGUAGUAUACUGAUCAAAAUGUUGAAGUACACACAAGAGACCUUCAGCUUCAGAUAACAAUAUGUUGUCUCAGAAAUUAUCUAAUCAAUCAUGUAGAAGCUAAGAAAUUAAAACAAAGAGAAAAAAAUCUCCCUAAAUGUACUAAAAACAUCUCUGAACCUUUCUUCAUAAUCACUCUCAACUUCAAUCCUCCUCAAACCACGUGAUUUUCUGCUACAAAAUAGGACGAGUUGUUCCUUGUGGUGCUACCACAUAACUAACCUGUGAUCGAGCUUGUGUUCAUGAAUAUCUCCACCGCUGAGAUUGAAAGUUGAACGACCUAAUGCUAUGUUAUGUUAGUUCUAUACAAUCCAAGAGCCAUCCAUUGCAGAGCAUCAAAGUUAAAGGGGCCUAUAGAGCUACAAAAUUGAACAAUUUGGACACGCGGUGGCAAAUGGACUAGACAAACAACAGUAUAUAACAUUUUGUGCACUUUUGCAGAAGACUUCUUGGCAUAAAAGCUUGAAUUCACAGGAAAUGUUUCCAUACAAUUUUUUUUUCUGAUUUUGCACACAACGCGUUUGUGAGUGCAUGCGAGAGAAGCAUAAAAAAACAACUUGAUGUCCCUUUAGAGUCAACUUCUUCAACAAGUCACUUUGAAUUUCACAUAAACAAAUUGAAAAAAAUAAAACUACAGUACCACAACCAUUCUCAUCUAUUUAAGUUAUAUUUCCAUUCACUUAGAAUAUAGUGCUACCUCGACUUUAGAUUCAAAUUUCAACAAUUAAGGAAUACUUGAAGAAAACAGUCUAGUAUUUUGUUGGCAUUUCAACACAUACGUGGAUGGCAUAAAGGUUGAGGUGCAAGUGAACAACUUGAACUUCUCCAACGCUAAUGCCAGUUGCAAUAACUUGCAUUACACACACCGUAUGUAUCAGAUUAUUGUGAUUUAGGGGCACAAAAAAGAAAUUUCAUGAACAGGAGAUGAAACUGUAACCGUAGAUCAAUCACCGUUAAUUACUGAUAUGUCUUCAUCGUAUUUACUUUUUCUAAUGCCUUUUCUUUUGUUUUGGACCCUAAUUUGCAUGAUUUGAAUAAAAGUAACCCAGACUAACGCUGUUUUCAGUAGAACUCCCAUGACGUUGUUUUUGUGGAGAAAUAAAAGUUCUCGGAAUUAGACGAAACUUUCUGGAGCAUUUUUGUGGAAUAAAAGAAAAAUACUGGAACCAAGACCUACUAAGAGGGGGGCCCAGACACCCACUAGUCACCAGGAUGCGCCACCCCCUACCGCAGAUUGGUGGGUGGUGGGGCCCUUGGGGCUCCACUGACCCUAACUCUAGCACUAUAAAAUCCUAUAUUUGGAGAAAAAAUAGGAUAGGAAGGUUCAUCAUGUUUCAUGAUAUGGAGCCGCCGCCACCUCAUCUUCUUCAUCGUUGGGCCAAAUCUGGAGUUCUUUUGCGGCUCAAAAGAGGGGAAUCUUUGGUCUUUGUCAUCAUCAACCCUCCUUCAUCGCCAAUUCCAUGAUGCUCUCCACCAGAGUGAGUAAUUCCUUCGUCGGCUUGCUGGUCGGUGAGAAGCUGGAUGAGAUUCAUCAUGUAAUCGAGUUAGUUUCAUUAGGGCUUGAUCCCUGGUAUCCACUAUGUUGGGAGACAGAUGUUGCUAUGACUUUGCCAUGCUUAAUGCUUGUCACUAGGGCCUGAGUGCCAUGAUUUCAGAUCUGAACUAUUUAUGUUUUCACCAUUAUAUCUAUGUUCUUGAUCCGAUCUUGGAACUUAUAUGCAACUACUAUGUGUUAGGAUCCGCAUACCCCAAAGUGACAAUAAUUGGGAUACUUUUCGAUAAUUACCGUAGUAUGAGGAGUUCAUGUAUUCACUAUAUGUUAAUGCUCUGUUCCAGUUCUCUAUUAAAAGUAGGCCUUAAUAUCCCUUAGUUUCCUUAUGGACCCCGCCACCACGGUAGGGUAGGACAAAAGAUGUCAUGGAAGUUCUUCUCGAUAAGCACGUAUGACUAUUUACGGAAUACAUGCCUAAAGUAUAUCGAUGAACGGGAACUAGUUCUGUAUCGCCAUAUGUUACGACUAAUUCAUGAUGAAUAUCAUCCAACAAUAUCACUGAUCGAGUGCCUACGAGUUUUCCACAUAUUGUGCUUGCUAAGUUACUACUGUUGCUACUGUUGUUACAACUGCUACAAAAUUGUUAUCGCUAUUACCAUUAUUGUUGCUACUCUUACCACUUAUAUCAAAACUAUCAUAUUACUGUGCUACUGAUCACUGUGCUGCAGAUACUAAAUCUCCAAGUGUGGUUGAAUUGACAACUCAACUUCUAAUACCUGCAAAUAUUAUUUGGCUCCCCUUGUGUCGAAUCUAUAAAUUUGGGUUGAAUACUCUACCCUCGAAAACUAUUGCGAUCCCAUAUACUUGUGGGUUAUCAAGAAUGUUUUCUGGCACCGUCGCCAAGGAGCAUAGCUAUAAUUGUUGAGUGACUUUGGAUAUCUAUUUAUUGAUCACUAUGAAGAAUCUAAAAGAUACGAGAACCAAGAUCAUUCCCUCUAAGAUGACGGGUGGUAAGGAACUGCCAUCUAGCUUAGCACUUGAUUCACCUUGUGUUUUGAAUAAUCUUGCAACACCACCAUCACAUGCUAUUAAUCCUAAUAUGUUGCAAGUUAUUGUUGAUGUUACCUAUGCUAUGAAUGAUACUAAUGAUGAUGCUAGUACCUUGCUCGAUGAUACUGCACCAUUAGGUGAAUUUCUUGAUGAACAACUUGCUAGAGCUAAAGAAAUUUAACAUGCUAAAACUGAUGAAGUCUCUGAAACUGAAAAUAUUGAAACACCUUUGUGACAUGACUAUCCUAGAAUUAAAAUGCCUGAAGUACAUGAAGGUUAUGUUAUGGAUGAAUAAAUAGCUAGAGACUUUUUUGCUUGUGAGGAUAGAUAAUAUCUUAAGAAACUACUCUGCAAGUAGAAAGAAAAACCCUUGAAUGCUAGAAUGAAAUAUAAUCCUAAGUUUUCUAAUUCACCUAUCUUUGUUACCGAUAAGGAUUAUGAAUUCUCUAUCGACCGAGAGAUAAUUACUUUGGUUAAAUCUGAUCCUUUUCGUGGCUAUGAAAAUUAAACUCUUGUGGCACAUCCCACUAAGUUAAAUGAUAUAACCACCCUAUUUACUCAUGAUGAGAAAAAUCGGUACUACUAUAUUCUAAAAUUAUUUUCGUUCUCAUUGAAGGGUGAUGCUAAGAUUUGGUACAAUACUCUUACUCCUGGUUGUGUGUGUAGUCCCCAGGAUAUGAUUCACUACUUCUCUAAAAAGUAUGUUCCUACUCAUAAGAAACAAGUUGCCUUACAAGAAAUAUUUAACUUUGUGAAUAUUGAAGAAGAGAGUCUCCAACAAGCUUGGGGAGGCUUUUCCAAUUAAUUAAUGCUUUGCGUGAUUAUCCUCUUAAUAAGAAUGAAAUACUUGAUAUAUUUUAUAAUGGACUAACCGAUGCUUUUAGGGACCACUUAGAUAGUUGUGAUGUUUGUGUUAUCAGGGAACAAACUAUCGAACAAGCUGAGGAGUUAUUGACUAAUAUAUUCAAGAAUUGGGACGAAUGGACACUUCCUGAGCCACCACCUAAAUCUACUCCACAGAAGAGGGGUAUCUUAUUCCUUAGUCUUGAAACUAUGCAUGAGGCAAAGAAAUGUAUGAUGGAAAAAAUGCAUUAAAGCUGAAGAUGUUAAGAAUUUACCACCCGUCAAAGAAAUACAUGGUCUCAACACACCACCAUAGGUGGUGGAGGUAAAUUCUCUUUUAAAGUUUGCUGAAGGUGACAUCCCUUACAAUAAACAUCCUAGUCAAUGCUUAUAUGAGUUUGAUAAUUAUAUUAGGAAGCAAGAUCAUUUGAAAAUCCUAUGUUAUGAAACAACUGAGACAAAACUUGGAUAUGAUUGCUCGCUUAAGUGACUUGCUAUUUAGAAUAACCAAUGAUGUAGGAGGUGUAGGAAAACAUGCUCCUAUGGUUCAACUCAACUAGAACAAGUUACUGUUGGAGAACGUUGCCUGGGAAACAAAAAAUUUCCUACGCACACGAAGACCUAUCAUGGUGAUGUCCAUCUACGAGAGGAGAUUUGGAUCUAUGUACCCUUGUAGAUCACACAGCAGGAAGAGUUAAGAAACUCGGUUGAUGUAGUGGAACGUCCUCACGUCCCUCGAUCUGCCCCGCAAACCGUCCCGCGAUCCGUCCCACGAUCCGCUCUGAUCUAGUGCCAAACGGACAACACCUACACAUUCAACACACGUACAGCUCGAUGAUGAUCUCGUCCUUAUUGAUCCAGCAAGCAAGAUGGAGAAGUAGAUGACUUCUCCAGCAGUGUGACAGUGCUCCGGUGGUGGUGAAGGAUCUACUCAUGCAGGGCUCCGCCCGAGGUCCGCAGAAAUACGAUCUAGAGGUAAAACUAUGAUGUCUAGAUCUGAGUUGCACGUGGCAAAAUUUGUCUCAAAUCAUCCCUACAUCACCACUACAUAUAGGAGGGAGGGGGAGGAGGCUUGCCUUGAGGGCCAAGCCCUCAAGUGUGCGCCGGCUAGGGAGGAGGAGGAGUCCUACUCCAAUCCUAGUCCAACUAGGAUUGGAAAGUGGAGUCCUUCUCUGCCUUCCCACCUUUCUUUUUUUCUUUCUCUUUGGUUUUUCUUUCCUUGGCGCUAGGCCCUCUUGGGCUAUUCCACCAGCCCACUAAGGGCUGGUGCGCCACCCCUAGGGCCUUUGGAAUUCCCCCGGGUGGGUUGCCCCCCUCCCCGUGAACAUCCAGAACCCAUUCGUCACUCCCGGUACAAUCCCGGUAAUGCGCGAAAACCUUCGUCUUCGGACCAUUCCAGAAACCCUCGUGACGUCUGUGAUCUCAUCCGGCACUCCAAACAACAUUCGAUAACCACACAUAUAACUCAACCAUACUAAAACAUCGUCGAACCUUAAGUGUGCAGACCCUGCCGGUUCGAGAACUAUGUAGACAUGCCCUGAGGCACUCCUCGGUCAAUAUCCAAUAGCGGGACCUAGAUGCCCAUAUUGUAUCCUACAUAUUCUCCGAAGAUCUUAUCGGUUGAACCUCAGUGUCAAGGAUUCAUAUAAUCCUGUAUGUCAUUCCCUUUGUCCUUCAGUAUGUUACUUGCCCGAGAUUCGAUCGUCGGUAUCCGCAUACCUAUUUCAAUCUCGUUACCGGCAAGUCUGUUUACUUGUUCCAUAAUACAAGAUCCCGUGACUUACACUUAGUCACAUUGCUUGCAAGGCUUGUGUGUGAUGUUGCAUUACCGAGUGGGCCCCGAGAUACCUCUCCGUCACACGGAGUGACAAAUCCCAGUCUUGAUCAAUACUAACUCAACGGACACCUUCGGAGAUACCUGUAGAACACCUUUCUAGUCACCCAGUUACGUUGUGACGUUUGAUGCACACAAGGUAUUCCUCCGGUGCCAGUGAGUUAUAUGAUCUCAUGGUCAUAGGAACAAAUACUUGACACGCAGAAAACUAUAGCAAUAAAACGACACGAUCAAUAUGCUACGUUCAUAGUUUGGGUCUAGUCCAUCACAUGAUUCUCGUGAUGAUGUGAUCCAGUUAUCAAGCAACAACAGUUUGCACAUAGUCAGAAAACCUUGACUAUCCUUGAUAAACUAGCUAGCCAACUAGAGGCUUGCUAGGGACAUUGUUUUGUCUAUGUAUCCACACAUGUAUCUAUGUUUUCAUUCAAUACAAUUAUAGCAUGGAUAAUAAAUGAUUAUCUUUAAACAGUAAAUAUAAUAAUUAUUAUUUAUCAUGGCCUCUAGGGCAUAUUUUCAACAGUUACUAAGUCUCAAAGUGAGCUACUUCAUGAAAUGAAUAAUAAUAUGAAUGAUCAUAAUGUUAGAAUAAUAACUAGAGCAGGAACAAUGACUUCAGAUCCACUAUAUCAAGAAGGUCAUUCUAAAAGACCUGAACAAGAUUCACAAAGAAUUAAUAUUGAUGCACCUAGUCCUUCUGGGAAGAAAAAGAAAAAGAAAAAUUAUACAUACUUCUAAUGAACUUAAAUUAGAUAAACCUUCUCAUAAUGCUAAUUUUACCUCUAUCUCUGAUGCUCAAACUCAAUCUCGUAGUGAACAUUCACCUAGUGAUAGNNNNNNNNNNNNNNNNNNNNNNNNNNNNNNNNNNNNNNNNNNNNNNNNNNNNNNNNNNNNNNNNNNNNNNNNNNNNNNNNNNNNNNNNNNNNNNNNNNNNNNNNNNNNNNNNNNNNNNNNNNNNNNNNNNNNNNNNNNNNNNNNNNNNNNNNNNNNNNNNNNNNNNNNNNNNNNNNNNNNNNNNNNNNNNNNNNNNNNNNNNNNNNNNNNNNNNNNNNNNNNNNNNNNNNNNNNNNNNNNNNNNNNNNNNNNNNNNNNNNNNNNNNNNNNNNNNNNNNNNNNNNNNNNNNNNNNNNNNNNNNNNNNNNNNNNNNNNNNNNNNNNNNNNNNNNNNNNNNNNNNNNNNNNNNNNNCUAUCACUAGGUGAAUGCUCACUUCGAGAUUGAGUUUCAGCAUCACAGAUAGAGAUAUCAUUAGCAUUAAGAGAAGGUUUCUCUAAUUUAGGUUCAUUAGAAGUAUGUAUCAUUUUUCUUUUUCUUUUUCUUCCUAGAAGGACUACGUGCAUCAAUUUUAAUUCUUCGUGAAUCUUGUUGAGUUCUUUUAGGAUGACCUUUUGGAUAUAGUGGAUUUUGAGUCAUUGUUCCUCCUCUAGUCAUUACCCUAACAACAUGAUCAUCCAUAUUAUUAUUCAUUUCGUGAAGUAGCUCACUUUUAGACUUAGCAACUUGUUCUAGUUGACAUUGAACCAUAUAAGCAUGUUUUCCUACACCUCUUACAUCAUUGGUGAUACUAAAUAAGAAGUCACUUAAGCAAGCAAUCAUACCAGAGUUUUGUUUCAAUUGUUUCAUAAUAUAGGAGUUGAAAUGAUAUUGAUUUCUAAUAUAAUUAUUAAACUUAUGUAAGCAUUGACUAGGAUGUUUACUGUAAGGGUUAUCACCUUCAUUAGACUUUAAAAUAGAAUUUACCUCCACCACCUGUGGUGGUGUGCUGAGACCAUGUAUUUCUUUGAUAGGUGGUAAAUUCUUAACAUCUUUAGCUUUAGUGCAUUUUUCCUUCAUACAUUUCUUUGCCUCUUGCAUAGUUUCAGGACUAAGUAAUAAUAUACCCCUCUUCUUUGGAUUAGCUUUAGGCGGUGGUUCACGAAGUGUCCAUUCAUCAUGAUUCUUCAAUAUAUUAGUCAUUAACUCCUCAGUUUGUUUGACAGUUGGUUCCCUGAAAACACAACCAGCACAACUAUCUUGGUGGUCUCUAGAAGCUUUAGUUAAUCCAUUAUAAAAUAUAUCAAGUAUUUUAUUCUUCUUAAGAGGAUGAUCAGAUAAAGUAUUAAGUAACAAGAGAAGCCUCUCCCAAGCUUGUGGGAGAAUCUCUUCUUUAACUUGUACAAAGAUAAAUAUUUCCUGUAAGGCAACCUGUUUCUUAUGAGCAGGAAAAUAGUUUUCAAAGAAGUAGUAAAUCAUAUCCUGAAGUAAUUGGAGAAGCCUCCCUCAAGCUUGUGGGAGACUCUCUUCUUUAAUUUUACAAAGUUAAAUAUUUCGUGUAAGGUAGCUUGUUUCUUAUGAGUAGGAAAAUACUUUCAGAGAAGUAGUAAAUCAUAUCAUUGGGACUAGGCACAGAACCAGGAGAAAUAGUAUUGUACCAAAUCAUAGCAUCACCCUUUAAUGAGAAUGGAAAUAAUUUGAGAAUAUAGUAGUAGAAAAUUUUCUGAUCAUGAGUAAAUCGGGUGGCUAUGUCAUUUAACUUAGUGAGAAUCUUCAGGCAUUUUAAUUCUAGGAUAGUCAUGUCUAAAAGGUGUUUCAAUAUUUUCAGUUUUGAACACUUCAUCAGUUUCAGCAUGCUCAAUUUAUUUAGCUCUAGCAAGUUGUUCAUCAAGAAAUUCACCUAAUGGCACAGUAUCAUCAUUAUCAUCAUUCAUAUCAUAGGUAACAUCAUCAAUAACUUACGACAUAUCAGGAUUAAUAGCAUGUGGUGGUGGUGUUGCAAGUCUAUUCAAUACAGGGUGAAUCAAGUACAGAGCUAGAUGGCAGUUCCUUACGUCCCCUCGUCUUAGAGAGAACGAUCUUGGUUCUUCUAUCUUUCACAUUCUUCAUAGUGAUCAAUAAAUGGAUAUCCCAAAUGACUCAACAAAUAGAAGAACCAACAAUAGUAGCAACAAUAAUAACUUAGCAAGCAUAAUAUGUGGAAAACUCGUAGGCACUAGAUCAGUGAUAUUUCUCGAUGAUAUUCAUCAUUUAUCGGUCAUAACAUAGAGCGACACAUAACUAGCUCCCGUUCAUCGAUAUACUUUAGGCAUGUAAUCCGUAAAUAGUCACACGUGCUUAUGGACAAGAACAUGCAUGACAUCUUUUGUCCUACCCACCCGUGGUGGUGGGGUCCAUAAGGAAACUAAGGGAUAUUAAGGCCUUCUUUUGAUAGAGAACCGGAACAAAGCAUUAACACAUAGUGAAUACAUGAACUCCUCAUACUACGGUAAUCAUUAGAAAGAAUCCCAAUUAUUGUCACUUUGGGGGUAUGUAGAUCCUAACACGUAGUAGGUGCAUAUGACUUGCAAGAUCUGAUCAAGAACAUACAUAUAAUGGUUAAAACAUAAAUGGUUCAGAUUUGAAAUCAUGGCACCCGGGCCCUAGUAACAAGCAUUAAGCAUGGUAAAUUCAUAACAACAUCAAUCUCCGAACAUAGUGGAUACUAGGGAUCAAACCCUAACAAAACUAACUCGAUUACAUGACGAAUCUCAUUUAGCUCCUCACCGACUAGCAAGGCUACGAAGGAAUUACACAAUCCCCUUGCACAACAUCAUGGAAUUGGCGAUUAAGGAGAUUUGAUCAUGUCGAAGACCGAAGAUUCCCCACUUCGGAGCACCAAAUAGACUCCAGAUUUGGCCUCUCGAGGAAGAAGAGGAGGUGGCAGCGACUACGUAUCGUGAAUCGCAAUGAAACUUCCUCUCCUAUUUUUUCUCCAAAAAUAGGAUUUUAUUUUGGGGGAGAUAGGGCUAGCGGAGCCCUGAUGGCCUCACUACUCACCAUGCCGCACGAGGAGGGGGUGGCCCGCCCAGGUGCCUAGUGGGUGCUUGGGGCCUGUGCUCCAAUGGGUCUUGGUUCUAGUAUUUUUCUUUUAUUCCAUAAAAAACCUCUAGAAAGUUUUGUCCAAUUUCGGGAUUUUUUUUUAUUUCUGCACAAAAACAACACCAUGGUAGUUCUAGUGAAAACAGCGUCAGUUCGGGUGAGUUUCAUUCAAAUCAUGCAAAUUAUAGUCCAAAACAAGAGAAAAAUCAUUAGGAAAAGUAGAUAUGGUAAGAGAGCCAUCAGUUCAAAAACCCAUGCCUUAUCCACCCAAACCAACUAACAAAAAAGAUGAUGAGGAAUUUGAACGCUUUGUUGAAAUUAUUAGGCGGGUCUUUUUGCAUACGCGUUUAACUUUUCUUUCAAAGAUGUCCCAUUGUGCUAAGUAUAUGAAAGACAUCAUCACUAAGAAAAGAAAAAUACCUGAAGCUGAAAUCUCCACCAUACUUGCUAAUUACUCUUUAAAGGAUGAAGUACCUAAAAAACUAGGAGAUACAUGAAUACCAACUAUACCAUGUUCCAUCAAAAGAAACUACGUGAAAACUCCUUUAUGUGAUCUUGGAGAUGGUGUUAGUGUUAUGCCUUUUGCUUUAUAUAGAAUACUUGACUUGACAAACUCACACCUACUAAAAUUCCUUUGAAAUGGAUGACAAAUCUACUACCAUACCUAUCGGUAUUUGUGAGGAUGUAACCGUUGUUGUUGCCAAUGUUACUACCUUGACAGACUUGGUUAUACUUAAUAUGCCCAAGGAUGACAGCAUGUCGAUUAUCCUUGGUAGACCUUUCUUAAAUACUACAUGAGGUGUUAUUGAUUGCAACAAAAGAAAAGUCACUUUUCAUGUCAAUGUUAAAGAACAUACGGUGCAUUUUCCGAGGAAAUAAUUCCAAUUGAAUUGUGUUAAUGUUAUUGGAAAAUAUCUGACUAUCACGAAUGGAUGUUUUCAAAUACCUCAGCCCGCUGCCAAGAAUAAAUAUGGGAUACUUAUUGUUGGGGAUAUGCACAUCCCCGUUGAGGUAACUUAGUGUUUUACGAAAAUUCUUCGGGUUCAAGUUAAUUCGAAGUGGUUGUUAAUAAGGUAUGAUCAACCUUGUUAUGGAUCAUUUUCAAGAGGUAUGACGUUGAGGAAUUCAAUAGGCACAACUCUCUAUACCCACUUUAUUCUUCCUAUUAUUUUUAGUUGAAUACACUAAAUGUCAUGUUUAUCUUGUUUUCUGAAAUCUCUGUGCAACAAAAAAGUUCCCAAAAAUAAAAGUUCUUCAAAUGACCUGGAAUUUUCACACGAUGUUUUUUGAAUAUUUGAGAAUAUUUGGCACUUAACACAUCACAAUGGAUGUCCCAGGUGUCCACUGGGCACCAGGGCACACCACCCCCACAUGGCGUUCCUUUGCGGGUAGUAGGCCCCUCGUGGGCUGUCUCACUUAUCCCUUCAGCCCAUCUCAUCACUUACAUCGUGUGUUCUUUCUCUCAAACCCAUGUGUUUGAGCAUAUUUCUCCAUAUGUGGUUUUGGUAAUUGAUGACAAUCCUUAUGGACUAAGGGUUGCCUUAAGUUGUAUUUGAAGGAUUUGUCCAUAGGCACUUCAUGAAGUCCAUCUGUUGGUUUAAAGGAGUUUAUAUGAUGAGCAAGGUGGUAUUAAAGGUAUUAUCCAAAGAAUGGUCAUAAAUACACAAGGUUGAUCAAGACUAAGACAAAGAGUAAAUCAAGUUGAUCAACACACAAAGAGUACAAGAUGUACCGAGACGUAUCAAGUGACCCCACGGUGUGAUAAGCAUUGUCGAUUAUGCUUUUGUGUACUAACCCGUGGUCUUCACGAGAGUUCUAUGUGGGGUUAGGUGUGUUUCCAUGGGCUUGCGUCAGUAGGAAGUUCUCAUUCAACCCAUGAAGGAUGACAUCAAGUGAUGAUCGUCAUGAAGAUUGCGGUGUGCAAGUUCAAGAGGAGCAUCACGAAGAUAUCAUGCUUGAAAUUUGCUGUCCAUUGUGGUGGCAAUGUACUUGUGAAGAUGCACUGAAGAGUGGCUCACCCAUAGUGACUAUGGGGGAGCAAUCAACUUGUCUUCAUCAAGCCAAUGCAAUCAAUAAAGGUGGUCCAUCUUGGGGAAGUCAUGAUCAUCAUCAUCUAGCUCAAGCGGACUAUGUGCAAGGUAUUGGUUUGCCCUUGAUAGGUUUUUCUAUUUUAGGAUAGAUUGUCGUACUCUAAAGGGGGGCUCUCAAGUGAGUAGCUUGAUUGUAUCAUUCGUUGAGAGCUCAAACCAUUUGCAUCCUUGCAUCAUAUUUCUUAGUUGUUGUUUGGCGUUUCUCUUUGUGAGUUUUAGAGCUUAUGGUCAUCUUUAUGAGAAGCUCGAGUUCAUCGAAAACGGAGUUCAUGUCCAUUUUCUAUGGAGCUUUCGAUAUUGGAGUUUUUGUCGGUUCUUCAUUAUUUGAGGUUUCACAUCUCUAUAUCAUGGGGAUUUUCAUUACUGCAUAUUCAUAGAGUUUUCGAUAUAGCUGUUUGGAUAGUACUUGUUGUGUGCUAUCCGACAAGCUUGAGUUUCCUCAAUUUGGAGCUCGUAUGCGAAAGUAAUGGCAGUUCUGGCCAGGCUUUCUCUCUCAAGCAGAAGUACCGCUGGGGCUGAGCGGUAGUACCACUCCUGCGGUACUGCCUCCCUCCCCUGCCGACCUAUCUUCUCCUUACAAUUUCUCUCUAGCUUCAUCGUUGCGUUUUUCCACUUUGAGCGGAAGUACCGUUUGGGUGGAGCGAUAGUACCGCCCAGCGAUACUGCCGCCCUCCCCUUCCGUCCCUACUUUUGCUUGUUUUUCUCUCAAUCUUCUGAUGAGCCGUUGCCCUUUUUAAACGAAACUACCACUUGGAUUGGAGCGGUAGUACUUCUCUAGUGGUAGUACCGCUCAGCCCAACGGUAGUACUGCUUGUGCACGACCUGUGCACAUAACGGUUAGAUUUGGGGAGGCCCAGAAAAUGGGGUCUUCUUUCCCAAUGGUUUUCUAUCCGUUGAGCUCGUGUUCUUCCCCCAUUGUUGACCUUCUUAGAGCUUGCUAACUCUCAAUCCCUCCAAUGAUUCUUGCUAGUUCUUGAGGGAAAAGAGAGAGGAGAUCUAGAUCCACAUUUCCACCAAUCACUUUCUCCUCUAUGUGAGGGGAACCCCUUGGAUCUUGAUCUUGGAGUUCUUUGUGAGCUCCUUGUUCUUCCUCUCGUAUUCCUCCAUAGAUUUUGUUGUUCUGGAGGGAUUUAAGUGUCAGGGACUUGACCACUUCCUGUGUUCUUGCCAUCGCAUUAGUUGCAUCAGUUUGAGUUCUCCAUGAAAAUACGUGGAAGUGAAAAAGUUUGAUAAGCUUAUUACCCUUGGGUGCUUAGUACCCUAGAGAUUUUUCUUCGUGGAUUAUUUGGCGUCCUAGAAGAUUGGUUUUGCCUCGAAGCUAAAUCGUUGUGAUGUAAAGCUCCGGGCAAGUGACGAGUUCUCCAAUUAGGUUGUGGAGAUUGCCCCGAGCAUUUGAGGUCAUCUCGGAGCCACAGUCCAUUGUGGUGAAGCUUCGUGGUGUUGUUGGGAGCCUCUAAUUAAGUUAUGGAGAUUGCCCCAACCUUGUUUGUACGGGAUCGGUGACCGCCCUCAAGGGCCCCUUAGUGAAAUCAUGACAUCUUGUAUUGUCCAAAGGCAUGAGGAGAUUACGGUGGCCCUAGUGGCUUCUUGGGUAGCAUUGUGCCUCCACACUGCUUCAAAUGGAGAUUAGCAUCCGCAAGGGUGUGAACUUUGGGAUACAUCAUCGUCUCCACGUGCCUCGGUUAUCUCUUCCCCGAGCCAUUUACUUAUGCACUUUUACUUUGUGAUAGCCAUAUUGUUCCUUGUUAUAUAUCUUUUUAUCACUUAGUAAUUUAUCUUGCUAAGCAUAAGUUGUUGGUGCACAUACGUGAGCCUAGCUGUCGGGACCCCGAUCCUAAGCCACAGGAAUCCAGCCUAUAACACAUUGCAUCUCUUUGUGGUCUCACGCACGGUUAACUCCACGGCUGCAGCCUUACCUUAGCCGGGACCGUUUGCGUCUUUUAACUCACGUAUACGAUAGUGUCGCUAGCAUUCCAAUGUCAAAGAACCCGGAUCGACAUGUCUAGUCAUAAACCAAAGUGGCAGUUCCGCACAAGGACAAGCAUACAUGACCCAACAAAGCAGGUGUCGGUCAUCCACAAACGUAGACGAGUCGUAGCAAGCUACAAGGACUCCAUUACGUCGCAUGACAUUUCCCCAAAGGGGACAGACACAACAGCUAAGAAGGACACAUGCCGGUCAACCAAUGUGUCCGGAGCAGUAGCGAACUACCAAGGCUCGUUGGAUCACAAAGGGGCAUUUCCUUGUAAGGAGUGCUACUAAAGUUCACGACUAGGUAUUCGAACCCCAUACAUAUCAAGUAAGACACACGUACGCAUGGCAUACCAAUAUGUAUAGAUACAUCGAUGGCAUCACAACAUAACCAUAAACAUACAAGCUUUAUUUAAGAGGCUCGGAAGAGCCACACACAUAUUAUUACACAUUAAGGGUCUCACGACCCAUAAUAUCAGUCACACAAUACAAGCCAGCGGAAGAGUUAUAAACUGUCUGGGUACAGACAGAGCAACUAGAAGGCACAUGGCCUGACUAUACUACAGAGCCGACGUAGGGCUAGAUCGUAGCUGGGACACCAGCUACUCGUCGUCAUCGAUGUCUACGAAGAACCCUCCAUUAGGGUCAUUAGCAACCUCUGCAACAUUUAUUAAGCAAACAUGAGUACGAAGGUACUCAGCAAGACUUUAGGAUGGCUAACUACUCAUGCAAGGUAUCAAGAAGGUAUCGUGGGGUUUCAAGCGGAAAGCCAACAUUUGACUCGUGGCUAGACAACUUGCUUUUGAAAUUAGUUUUGACAACUUGAUUUCUCGCACACAAGUCCACUAACACCACAACAAUACACUAUCGUGGAAUCAUUCCGUCUCCAUACGGAAAUGCCGUCCACGACACUCACGCUUAUCUUGACAAUUUUAGGAGUAGCCAUUGAAAUUAUCUAUGAACAACAUAUGUCUCCAAGUAGUCCAUAUCCGCGGACACGGCUAUUCGAAUAGAUCAUAACCCUGCAGGGGUGUACUUCGUCACAGACGCUCCCGCCACUUAUCGCCAUGUGCACGUCAUGCACCUCGGCAACCUUCAAGCGGAAGCCCAGCGAGGGAGUCGGCCACGACCGUUAACCACACUAGUACCUAGUCCAGGUUUAUCGCCUAUCUCAGAGUAACCCGUACGGAAGUCCGGCCGAGGUUUCCGCCACGGCCUCAAACGAUGUGCGCAGGGUUGCCAAGCCCACCAUCCGGGUGCCACUUGGUACACCGUGCCACUGCCUACCGCAUCACGGUCCACCUCUCAGGUCAGCACCAUGCACGGCCUCCAGCAUUACUAUAAACACCAGAAACUACUUGCAACUCCUGGACCGAGUACUACGCGAUUAAUAGGCCGAGCGGGGUCAUAUUUCAGGGCCCAGCAUGUGGUAGUAUCUAGUCUUGGAUUACAUACACGGAACUCAGGUCCUAAGGACGGUUCCAAUGAAACAACCCGCCAUGUACUCCUACACAGCCUUUCACCGGCACCUUUACCAAAUCAAGUUUAACACACGACCUUUGCUUACCGAACACAUUCCACAUUUCUGUUCAUCUCCCAGAUGACAGACCAUACACAACUCUAAGCAUAGCAUGCAUAGCAGGAUAAGGCACAUCAUAGCUCAAGCAACUACCAGGUAUGCUAGGUUGCAAGGUUCGGCUAUUUACUGUGACAAGGUUAAGUCAUGCAAAGGAAGUGGGUCCAACUAUCGUGGCAAAAGCAGUUGAAGCAUUUGAUCCUAAUGCAUUAAAUAGGUGCAGGAGCAAGAACAUAGGUGUUAUCGGGAUGAUCAAAAGGGGUGCUUGCCUUGUUGCUCAGAGGAGGAACGAUAUCCGUCGGGCGGAUAUUCGGUGGAAUCCGGGGGUGCGGAGCCUACCGAAAUGAACGGCAACAUUCAGUAACAAUCGUGUGCAAUCAAAAUGAUGCAUGAGCAUGGCAUGAGAAUGCAAGUGAUAAGUUAUUAUAAUCAAGAUGUUUUAGGUUUAGAGUUGAUUUGAAUCACAUUCGAAUAGCAAUUCAAACGGGUAUUCCCGGAUACCGGUUUAAUUGAUUCGACCUGAUGCUCAGAUCAACCUAAUGUUAACAUGCAUGGAAUGUCAUGUUAUGGUAUUGAUUUACAUCUAGGGCAGUGUGUGAUCAUUGCAUUUAUAAUGAAAUUUGGAUAUUUUGCAAAUUCCAUUUAUAAAGUGAUUAAAAGAAUUGAAUUAAUCCUUAUUUCACAACUUAGGGUUCUGUAACUUUUUCAAACAUAGUUGAAAAUAGCAUAAUCAGAAUCCUUGAAUUUUUCUGAUACUUUUUCAUAUAUAAAUUAUUUUCAUUGGAGUUACAGAUUAAUUUCUAUGAUUUUUGCAAUUUUUAGCAAUUUCCUGAAUUAUUUUUAUACUGGAAAUUCCAUUUAUUGCAUCAGGUUGACGUCAGCAGGUCAGCCGACCUGUGCAGGUCAAACCUGACAGGGGGGCCCCACUGGUCAGCCUCUCUGGGACUAAUCCCGCGCUGACCAGCCCCUAAUUGGGGUUUGACCAGGCGUGGGGCCCUUUGUCAGCGACUGAGAGGAGGGCGAUUAGGCCCUAAUGGCCGGCCACGUCGACGGCCACCGGAGGGUGGUCGCCGGCGACCAAACCCGCGGCGGAGGGCUCGCCGGAGGCGACCUAGACGGCGCUGCACAGCACCAAAUCGCACGUGGAUGGCAGCUACAGCAAGCUCGCGAAGUGGCCGAUCUGGUAGGACCAACUGGGGAGGCUAGGGUCGCCGGAAGAGGCGUCGGCGACGAGCUGGAGCGGCGGCCGAAGCUCGGGCGUCGUCGGGGGCUUCGAAUCAGGGGGAUCCACGCUUAAUUCUUAGCUGCUACGGCAUCUACGCGUCGUCCUGGAGCUUCUGGUGCUCACGGGAGGACGAGCUGGACAUCGGAGGGCUACCGGCAACGAGCGGCAGCGGCGGUGCUCGUCGGGCUCCGGCGAAACUAGGGCUAGAGAAGGGGAUCGACGGGGAAAGCUUAGGGGAAACCACCGCAUGCUCACAGGGAGUGCAGAGAAGAGCUCAGACGGCUCGGGGAAGGCCUGGGGACGACGAAUCGACGGGAGAUGUCCGGCGGCCGGAGGAAGAAGACGACGGCGUUGCGGGCGUUGCAGGGCUCGAGGGGACUUCGGCUUCUGCAGAGAAGACCAGGGCGACGAGGCGGAUCUAAUGGCGUGCUCGGGGAGGGGUUCCUAUGGCCAGGGCAACGGCCAGCUCGAGCUCGAGCUCGGCUCUAAUGGCGGCAGCAGGGAGAAGGAGGGGAUCCGGGCGGAGGAGGAGAACCGAGGCAGGGAAUGGAUAGGGAAGGCUCUGGGGAGCUUAUCCCCGCCGUCGCCAGCACGAACCGGCGGCCAGGCAGGCACGCAGGUGCGUGGCCGCGCCGGAGGAGGCGGCGGCCACCUCCUGCUGCCUACUGGCGCGGGGAAGGGGACGAGCGGCGAGAUGGGCUGGGCCUGGCGUGGGCGUCAGGUAAGUCUUUUCCUUUUUCUUCUGCUUUUGUUUUUCUGUUUUGCUAUUUAUUGCUUUGCUAAUUAUUUCAGCUCCAAAACAAAAAGUAAAAACUAUUUUAAACCUCCUGAAAUAUUUGUUAUAAUGUCCCCACUCAUUUCCAAGACUUUCAACAAUUUUGGAAAAUUAUAGCUUCUGUUUUCAAAUUUUUAAAUUUGAAACCAGUGGCUUUUGCAUUUAUUUAAAAUGCUUGAAGUGCCAAGGAAAUAGUUUUCUCCAAUGCUCAUUUACUUUCAUGAAUUAUCAGAAAGUUUGAACAUUUCUUGAGGCCAUUUUGGGUUCAUUGAUUUUGAACUAGUUUGAAAUUUCCUUUAAUUGAAAUGGUGGCUAGGGUUUUGAGUUUUUCCUUUGCCACUUUGUUGUUUUUGUUGAAACUUCUUAGAUGCAAAUGCAAAGAAGACAUGAGCACAAUGCUAUCUAGCUUAAGGUUUAGGGAUGUGACACUAGCUGUUAUAGGUUUUGUGCUUGACAAAUUAAAUGUUAGUUUUAUUCCUCAUUUGUUAAAGCCUAAACCGUAAUUACUUUAAAGCGCCUAUUCAACCGCCCUCUAGGCGACAUCCACGUCCUUUCACCAUGGAUUUCGAUCUCUUUGCUCGAAACUCCGUUUCUGAAACUGUUUUGGGGGAUAGCUCCUUGGUAUGUAACUCCACCACUCCUCCAAUUAGUUUUUGCCUUAGUGGUUUAUCUUAGAAGUAAUUAUCUACUCUAGGUGUUGUUGUAGUUGAGCCUGCAUGUUGAAUUCUUGAAGUUCCAAGUAGUUUGAAUUCUUGUUUUAUGCUUUAGGCAUCCUUACAAGUAGUUGCUAUCAUUCUUGUGAAUAUUUGUUAACUUUAUGUUGUGACACAAAUUUUUCAGAAAUUUGUACAUAGGAAUAAUUAGCUAGUUCAGGAGGAGUUCUUCGAAGAAUAAGUCCUUAGAGGCAUCAUCGAGUGAGGCUCGCAUACGACGGUCUUAUGCUUAGCCAAGUCAAAGCUCGAAGCGAGAAUCCCACACCAAAUCAUGCCUUUGGCCAAGUGAUGACUUCAUGUUGGGUGCAAAUAUUAAGGAAGUGUUUGAGCAAUACAUUCAAAAUACUGAGCUUGCACCCUUCACCGUAGAUAAGUGCACACAACAUUAUCAUCUUACUGAAACUUUCACUAAGAGGUUUAAAUUUUAUUCUCGAGAAUUCAGAGUCCCGUGUAACCUCUAUGAAAAUGCCUUCACCAUGUAUCUAGAUAAUUUCUCUAAUGCAUGGAAAAUUCCAUGUUUGGUUUUGCUAGACGAACCACCAAAAUCUUAACACGAGGCAUUUUUAACAAGUAUUUGCUUUGGUGAAGAUAGGGGAGCGACUCAUGGUAGAAUAAAUAGCACACACUUUCCUUCAAUUCGUUACCUAGCACUCCUUAAUGGAAAAUUCAUAGUGGGCAAGCAGGAUUGUAGUACCUUAUUUGCCCAGACUUGUGUCUCCUGCAUACUGCAUUAAUUGGAAUUAACUGUUAUAAUCUUGGAGCAAUAGUAGCACGCAGGUUGCAAUGUAAUUCUGAAAAAGGCCAUUUUUACGCCGCAAUUUACGCCUCUUGUUUAGCUAAGAAGCAUAGUGUGUCACCGCGGUCUAGUGACCCUAUUCUUCCUACUCAAUACUUAGAUUUUGAGGCCAUGAAGUGCCACAAGUUCAUAAAGGCCAGAGCUACUGAUUGUAAUUACAACCUUAUGUUUAAUAAUAAAUCUAUUGACCCUGUUAUGUUGCUUGCACCUUCCCUCUUUGAUUAUUGGGGAAAAGGAAGAUAUUACGUCUAUGGGAGGGAGGUGCAUGAGUAUAAUGCGACAGUGGAGGCUGUCCGUCAGGCCACGGAAUUGCACCAAGGGCUUCCAUGAUCUAUCAUAUGGAGUAUUAUCCAGGUCACUACGGGUGGUGAUUAUCAAGCUAGGCCAAAAGCCCAAGCUUUGGGGAGUACGUGUUUCCACCGACUUUACAUUCAUGCUCACAUAUUCUAGUUGUCGGUGUUCACACUCUUGCAUUGCAUUUUCCAUGUUAGAGUUAUUUUCUUGCUUUCUUCUUGUGUGUUUGAGAAACUUGCACAAAACCCAAAUAGAUUUCUCUUUUCUUCUUUUACUUGUUGGGAGCUUUCCCGUGUAAAUAUUUUUUCUUGUUUUAGUUUUUCCCUUCUUUAAUUUCCCUUCUUCUAGAGAAACUAAAAAACACAAAAAUAUUUUAGUGUGUUUCUAUGAAUUUCUUUUCCUUUUAUUGAGUUGUUCUCAAGGUGAAGACCACGAGGAAAAUAUUGAGUGGCUCUCAUAUGCAUUGUUAUUGAUCUAAUAAAGAGUCGAUAUUACUUUGUCUUCUCCUCUUGAAUAAAAUGUUGUAGAUUCUAGCUUAAUCAUCGGACCCUUUUCACUACUAUUAUUUUCGUAUCAUUUGGUCAUGCAAGUGAAAUGCAAUAAUGACGAUAUUUGAUGAACUGACUGUGGCAGAGAGAAGCGAGUAUGAACUCAACUUGUUUUUGUAUUUGUAAAUAUGUUUAGACAUGUCGGGGAUAUGAACCCGCGGUAUAACCCGCCAUUUGGGCCAGGUUAGACCAUGGGCGGCUUAAGAAGCGUAUAUUCAACGGGCUGUAGAGAUGACAGAGGUAAACGAGAAGACUUACCAAGUGAACCGCCUGGCGGGCCAGUACCUGAAGUUGGUGACUCAAGGCCCAUGAGGUGGAAGACGUGAGAAGCUUUCCUAACUUGGGAAGCAAGAGAACGUAGAAUUGUAAUAGGUCACGGGCGAUUAUUAACCCGGACUCUAUUGUAAACUCGAUGCCUCCACCUUUAUAUAAAGGGGAUCCCUUGAGCCGAAAGGAUCCAGCAAGAAACUCUCGAAAGCUAGGUCAGCUAUUCCGCAU